GUUGCCAUUUGUCGUGGGGUGCCUAAAGAAGUUCAAGAAGCAGCCUUUCUAGCUAUGUGUGGUGGCAACAAAAGACAGAAAAUCACAGCAAGUUCAGUCAAUGUUAAUGAUUGUGGAAUUUCAACAAUGGAAGGAGGAAUUGGAAGGGUACAAAGAGAAGUUCAGGUUGUAGAACCCGGAGUAGUGGAAGAGAGGAUUUCUUCACAUGCAAUAGCAGGAAACGACGUAGUAAGCAUGACCGGAAUGAGAGCACCAGAACAUGGAGUUUCCGAAGGGGCACUCGAGAGCAGACCGAGGACAGAUCCCGUGGAUCGAUCGUUGGAACAAAGCAAUGCAGUACUUGGCAAUUUGGAAGGGGGUGCUGGAAGGAUACAAGUGGGAGUUCAGGGGGUGCUGGAACAAGGUGCCGGGGAAGAGAGAAUUAAUCGGGUUAUAGUGAGGACAGAACCAGUGGAGGAGGAUGUGGAGAAUAGUCGAAGAUCAGUAGUGCAGGCUGGCGCAGGAGCUAGAUCUUCUGAAAGUCUGAAAUACAACAAGACUAGAGGAGUUCCAUUACCUACUAGCUCUAAAAAGCCAGUGGGUCAAGUAUUCGAAGAGAAUACGAAGGUGAUAUGGUCUUUGUUAAUGGAUGAUAAAGUCUCAAUCAUUAGCAUUUAUGGGAUGGGUGGGAUUGGUAAAACAACAAUACUGCAACAUAUCCAUAAUGAGCUUCUACAAAGACCAGAUAUUUGUGAUUAUGUUUGGUGGGUGACUGUGUCUCAAGAUUUCAGCAUUAAAAAAUUGCAGAAUCGUAUUGCUAAACGUCUUCAUCUAGACCUUUCAAGCGAAGAUGAUGAACUACAUAGAGCUGGCAGAUUGUCAAAAAAACUAAAGAAGAAACAAAAAUGGAUUCUUAUUUUAGAUGAUUUGUGGAACUAUUUUGACCUACACAAAGUGGGAAUUCCUGAAAAGUUGGAAGGAUGCAAGCUGAUUAUGACAACUCGAUCAGAAACAGUUUGUGAAGGGAUGGCUUGCCAGCACAAAAUCAAAGUGAAGCCACUUUCUAAUAGAGAAGCUUGGGCUUUGUUUAUGGAGAAACUUGAACGUGAUGUAGCACUUUCACCAGAAGUGGAAGGAAUUGCGAAAGCUGUUGCAAAGGAAUGUGCUGGUUUACCAUUGGGAAUUAUUACAGUGGCAGGAAGCUUGAGGGGAGUGGAUGACUUACAUGAGUGGAGAAAUACAUUGAACAAAUUGAGAGAAUCAGAAUUUAGGGAAAAGAAGGUAUUCAAGUUAUUGAGGUUUAGUUAUGAUCAAUUAGGUGAUUUAGCACUACAACAAUGUCUCUUGUACUGUGCAUUAUUUCCUGAAGAUGAUAGGAUUGAAAGGGAGGGGUUGAUAGGUUAUUUGAUUGACGAGAGAAUAAUUAAAGGAAUGAGGAGCAGGGGAGCUGCAUUUGACGAGGGCCACUCGAUGCUUAAUAUACUUGAAAAUGUCUGUCUAUUGGAAAGUGCUCAAAUGGAUUAUGAUGAUAGAAGAUAUGUCAAGAUGCAUGACUUGAUUAGGGACAUGGCCAUCCAACUACUGCUAGAGAACUCUCAAGGGAUGGUUAAAGCAGGUGCACAAUUAAAAGAGUUGCCAGAUGCAGAGGAGUGGACAGAGAAUCUGAUGAGAGUUUCACUAAUGCAAAACGAGAUCGAAGAAAUUCCUUCCAGCCAUUCACCAACGUGUCCCUAUCUAUCAACUCUAUUGCUAUGUAAAAAUAAUCUGUUGGGAUUUAUUGCGGAUUCAUUUUUCAAGCAAUUGCAUGGGCUCAAGGUCCUCGAUCUGUCUUGGACAGGUAUUGAAAAUUUGCCAGACUCUGUCUCUGAUUUGGUGAGUCUCUCUGCGUUAUUGCUCAAUGAUUGUGAGAAGUUAAGACAUGUUUCAUCAUUAAAGAAGCUCAGGGCACUGAAGAGGUUGAAUCUCUCUCGUACUGCACUUGAAAAGAUGCCGCAAGGAAUGGAAUGCCUAACCAACCUGAGGUAUCUUAGAAUGAAUGGAUGUGGUGAAAAGGAGUUCCCAGUGGGAUAUUACCAAAACUCUCUCACCUGCAAGUCUUUGUACUAGAAGAGUUAAUGGGGGAAUGUUAUGCUCCGAUAACAGUUAAAGGAAAGGAAGUACGAUCCUUGAGAUAUUUGGAAACUUUGGAAUGCCAUUUCGAAGGUUUUUCUGACUUCGUGGAGUAUCUCAGAUCUCGGGAUGGGAUCCUAUCAUUAAGCACAUACAAAGUUUUAGUAGGAGAGGUGGGUAGGUAUUUAGAGCAAUGGAUUGAAGAUUAUCCAAGUAAAACAGUUGGGUUGGGUAAUUUGAGUAUCAACGGAAAUAGAGAUUUUCAGGUCAAGUUCUUAAAUGGCAUUCAAGGACUGAUUUGUCAAUGCAUCGAUGCAAGAAGUUUAUGUGAUGUUUUGUCAUUGGAGAAUGCAACUGAACUGGAGCGCAUCAGCAUUCGGGAUUGCAAUAACAUGGAGAGCUUGGUUUCAUCUUCUUGGUUCUGCUCUGCUCCACCACGUAACGGUACGUUUUCUGGUCUUAAAGAGUUUUUUUGUUAUAAUUGUGGAAGUAUGAAGAAGCUGUUCCCGCUUGUGUUGCUGCCAAACCUCGUAAACCUGGAAAGGAUUGAAGUGAGUUUCUGUGAGAAAAUGGAGGAGAUAAUAGGAACAACAGAUGAAGAAAGCAGCACCUCCAAUUCCAUCACGGAAGUCAUUCUCCCAAAGUUAAGAAGUCUGGCAUUGUAUGUGUUACCAGAACUGAAAAGCAUUUGUAGUGCAAAACUGAUUUGCAAUUCUCUUGAAGAUAUUAAGUUAAUGUAUUGUGAGAAGCUGAAGAGGAUGCCAAUUUGUCUUCCGUUGCUUGAAAAUGGCCAGCCAUCUCCUCCCCCUUCUCUUAGAACAGUCUAUUCAUGGCCAAAAGAAUGGUGGGAGACAGUAGUGGAGUGCGAGCAUCCUAAUGCAAAGGAUGUCCUUCGUCCCUUUGUAAAGUAAUAUAAUAUAGUGUGCUUACAAUUACAUAAAUAACAUUGUUCAUUUUUUUUAUUUCAUUAGUCAUAUUUUUGUUAACUCGAUAGAUAAAUAAUUAUAAUUUGAAGUUUGAUUAAUAUUAUAUUUUUAUCCUCAUUGAAUUUCUCCAAGAUGAAAAUCCAAAAAAUAAAAAAAAUACUAUAUUGAUUUAUCACUUAAGUAACCUAAUAAAAUAAUAAAUAAUCAGUGAAAGUAUUCUUCUACACACAUUUUUAAAAUGUCUAAGAGAGAGUAUGAAUAUGGCAGUUUUGGUUUCUAAACCUGAAACUGCCAUAUUCAUAAACACAUUUUUUAAAUAACUGAAACUUCUAAUACCAAAUUUAAUACUAAAACUAGAAAGUAGCAUAGGCGUGAUUUUUAAAAUUUUGAUCCCUUUAAUUUAAAUUUUUUUAAAAAGUCCUAAAAUCUAGGCAAUUUGUUUUUGACACAACCUGGGAUUAAAUAUAAUUUUUAAAUAUUUUUAAAUAGUUAAGAUUAAAUAAUUUUUUAAUUUAAAACAAUUCAAUUUCAAUAAAAUAUCAAAAUAUUAUGAAAUUAAAAUUAAUAUUUAAAAGAAGGUUUAAAGGUGGUUUGCCCAUUUAACCAAUACCCAUUUAAAACGCAAUAGCAAACUGGGAUUAAGCAACACAGAAUUAAUCAAAUAGUUUUUUGGAUAAUGAUAAUUUUGUUGGGCCACGGAAUUAGGUCACUGAAGAACUUUUUAGUAAAGGAUUAAUUACUAUGCUCUUAUCCACACAAUCCUUCAUCACCAUCCAAUCCCAUCACUGGAAAACUUAUCCUCUUUGAUCUCAAUGCCCUUCUGCCAUCCCCAAAUAUAUGCUUUUAUCCCUUUUCCUUUGUAUCUUGUCGUUUGUGUCUUUGUCCACUGGCUUAAGGGUGUUUAGUAAUUCUACAUACGGUUUUUUUAAAAAUAUUUUUCAAAUAUAAAUAUAUUAAUAUAAUGUUUUUAAAUUUUUUUUAAUACUAACAUAUUAAAAUUAUUAAAAAAAUAUUUUUUAAUCUAAAUACAUGCAAGCAAGAUGAUACAUAAUUCCUGCAUUUAAAAAAACACAUUUAUUAAUAGAGUGUUUGAAAAAUAUAGUACCAGUUAUUUUUUAAUUUGUUUUUUUAUAAAUAUAUUAAAAUAAUAUAUUUUUUUAUUUUUUAAAAGUUAUUUUUAAUAUGAUUAUAUGAAAAUAAUUUAAAAAUAUUAAAAAAAAUAUUGAUUUAAAAUUAAAAAAUAAUAAUUUUUUAAAAAUAAAACUUUUAAAAAAUAAAAAUAAAAAUAAAACACCAACCCUGACAUUAACCCAAUGUGAACCCAAUGACCUCAUCAUUUCUUUCUGUACAUUUUGCGUGUGUUAAAGGACGCUCCUAAGGCCAAGCUCAUAACAGGACACACGUGUCUAUCCAUACAAAAAUUGGUAUUAAAAAAUGUGUUGACACCAUUCGCUCUCUCCCUUUCCCACCUUCUUUCACUGUAUGUGUGUAUUAUUUAAGAAUGUGUGUCACCCGUCGUACCAAACCUCAAAUUUUAUUGAUAUUCACGGUAGGUUAAUUUGGUUGUUAAUUUUAGAAUUUGUAGAAAUUAAUAAAGAUAUAUAUAAGCUGGUUUGGAUAUUUUAUAUAAAUAAAAAAUAUUAAAUUUUAUUUUUUUAAUUUAAAAUUUGAUAUGUAUAACACAAUAUCUUAACUUAUUCUCAUCCUUUAUCUUUUUUAAAAAACAAAUACAUUAAUCAUGACGAUAAAUCCUCUUAACAAUGAGUAUUACAUUUAAUUCCAAUGCAUGUAAUUUUUCAAAUAUUAUUCUUUAUGUGGCAAUCUCAUUUAAUAAAUAAACUUUAUGUUUAUUAUUUGUGCUAUAUAGAUGUGUUUUCUCAAAUAAAUUGAGGUGCGUAUAAAUAGAAAGCAUCAUAAUAAAUAAAAUCUUUUUAAAAAUAAUAUACUUCAUAAUGGAAUUAAGUUUCAUUUUCAAUACAUGAUCCUUGAAUUUAAAUGAUAGCAUACUCUUAGUUAAAGGAUUUAUGAUCAUCAAUUCAAUAUAAAUGCGCUUAAUGAUGACUUUUUUUUCCUAUGUUUACUUUGACUACAAUUUUUAUUAUUCUUGGCCUUCAAAACAACAAAACCGAUUGACGUGCUGCUGGUAUUUUCAUUGUGUAUACAUGGAUGCAAGGUGUACGUAGAAACUUUUGGUAAAAAAGAGGGGGUAUACUUAGCAUGAUCUUGUUUAAUUGAUAAAAUGUUUUAAUUAAUAAAAGAAUGACGAGUUUCAAAUCCUACUAUAACCAAUUUGAUCUUGUUUUUUUUUUUUUUUUUUUGUCAAAGUACCUUGUGGGUCAGAUUGGGUUUUGACUGGAUAUGGUUACUGAAUCUCUUAUUUGGUUAAACUUCAAAUCUAGCCCAGCUUUCAUGUCAAUCUACUAGGUCUAGAGUUGAAUUUAUUAAUAUGAAAUAUUUCUUUUUUAUAUAGUGUGCUUACAAUUACAUAAAUAAUAUUUUUUAUUUGUUUCAUUAUUUUUUAAGACUAUUAAUGAAUUGUCAUAUUUUUUUUAACUCGAUAGAUAAAUGAUUAUAACUUGAAGUUUGAUUAAUAUUAUUUUUCAUCCUAUUGAGUUUCCCCAAGAUGAAAAUCCAAAAAAAAAAAAAACUAUAUUGAUUUAUCAUUAAAGUAACCUAAUAAAAUAAUAGAUCUAUUCACUAGUACAAAUCAUGCAUCUAAUAUCAUUAACUAGCAAUAAAUUAUUUUUUAAAAUAUAUAAUAAAAAUUACCAAGAAAAAGAGAGAGAGAAGACACUUUAAAAAAAUAAUAACCAAGUUACAUGACUUGAAAUUUUAAAAAUUUUAUAAGAAUAUAUUUAGAAUAAAAUUUCAUACCUUUAUCUAUUUUUCUCAUGUCAUCUUAGUCUUAUUCGGAGGAAAAAAAAUUUAAAUUCAUUCUAUUUUUUUAAUUUUCCUUAUGAUUUUUAAAUUUUUAUUUUUAAGCUUUUUAGGUUUUAUGAACAAUAUAAGAAAAACUAAAAAGAUUGGUUAAUCCACUGUACAUGAAGACACAUGUUCCUAUGCAUUAUAUUAAGGAUUUGUUUAAGAGCGUGAUAAAAAUUAUAUUGCAAAAUGUGUUUUUAUUUAGAAAUAUAUUAAAAUAAUAUAUUAAAAUUUUUAAAUUUUUUUUAAUAUUAUCACAUUAAAAAAAUAGAAAAACACACAAAAAAAAAUAAUUUAAAUUUUAUUUUUUCCAAAAUGGUAAUGAGCAUUUUUCCAAUCUGUUGGGGGUGAUGCUGGUGGGCUUGGUGUUGCCUCAUGUAGCUUUCCAAAGUUUUAACAUUACAGUUAAUAGCUCCAAUUCUUUUGCACAUUACCUUGCUUUCAUGUAAUAUUAUAUUAUUUAUUAUACAUGUAAUAUUUUCACAGCAAAGAAUAUUGUAAUGUUAAAUACGUACACGUAGAACUUCACGAGAUGGGGUAAUCGGUUAAGCACGUCAAACAAUCAUAAAAUCCUUGUUCUUCUGCUUUCAAGAAUGUAACAAUAAAAUAAUAUUUUUUUAUUUUUUAAAAUGUAUUUUUAUUCAACAUAUCAAAACGGUACACAAAUAUAAAAAAUUCAAAUUUAAAUAAAAAAUAAAAUUUAACCAAUACCCAUUUAAAACGCAAUAGCAAACUGGGAUUAAGAAACACGGAAUUAAUCAAAUAGUUUUUUGGAUAAUGAUAAUUUUGUUGGGCCACGGAAUUAGGUCACUGAAGAACUUUUUAGUAAAUGAUUAAUUACUAUGCUCUUAUCCACACAAUCCUUCAUCACCAUCCAAUCCCAUCACUGGAAAACUUUUCCUCUUUGAUCUCAAUGCCCUUCUGUCAUCCCCAAAUAUAUGCUUUUAUCCCUUUUCCUUUGUAUGUUGUCGUUUGUGUCUUCGUCCACUGGCUUAAGGGUGUUUAGUAAUUCAUACGGUUUUUUUAAAAAUAUUUUUCAAAUAAAAAUAUAUUAAUAUAAUGUUUUUUUAAUUUUUUUUAAUACUACAGCAUCAAAAUUAUUAAAAAAAUAUUUUUUUAUCCAGUACAUACAAGCAAGCUAAUACAUCAUUCCCGCAUUAAAAAAGAACACAUUUAAUAAUAAAGUGUUUAAAAAUAUGGUAAUGGUUGAUUUUUAAAUUGUUUUUUUCUUAGAAAUAUUUUAAAAUAAUAUAUUUUUUUAUUUUUUAAAAAUCAUUUUUAAUAUCAUUAUAUUAAAAUAAUUUAAAAAUAUUAAAAAAUAAUAUUUUUUUUAAAAUAAUACUUUUAAAAUAUAAAAAUAAAACACAAACCCUAACCUCAAUAUUAUGUGAACCCAAUGACCUCAUCAUUUCUUUCUGUACAUUUUGCGUGUGUUAAAGGACGCUCCUAACUCCUAAGGCCACGCUCAUUUUUUUUCCCUGUUUGUGGGACUCCAAUUUAUUCUGAACUCUUGUCAGUCUUGACACCUUUCGCUCUCUCCCUUUCCCACCUUCUUAUUCAAUUAUUCAAUUCAAUUAGGAACCUGAUAGGAGUUGGAUUUUAAGUCUAGAUUUUGAUUUAUUAUAUAUUUUUUAAAUUGAUUUUUUUUAUUUUCUCCAUUAAUAUCUUUCUUUACGGGUAAAUAAAAAAACAUAUUUCAUUAUUCUUUUUUAGAAGAUAUUUGGAAUCAUUUGCUGGAUCUAUUUUCUGUUUUUAUUUUCAAAUUUUGAAAUGACUCCUCAGGAAACAAUUCCAGCCACUUAUUUGUCAUGAAAUUUGGAUGAUGUAUAAUUCCAAGUGGGCAUGCUGCAUUUCUUAGCCAGGUGUAGCAAGAAUUGAGGUAGCUUGUUUCUGGCUUUUGCUUCUCGGGGUAUGAUUUGUUGUGUUUUCGUUUUUUUUGCUAAUUUAUCUAAAUAUGAACUUUAAAAUCUUUUAAAUGAAACUAGCGUUCUUGAUUUCUAGGCGGUAGAUAUAACAGUAAUAUUAUUAAAAUGAAAAUAAAAAUAAAUAAAUAAAUAUGCUCAGACUUUUACCAUGUAGCAAUAGAGAAAACACGGCGUCUCUCUGUUUUUUUUUAAGCAUUUUUGUUUUUAAUUUCAUUAUAAUAAUUUAUUUCAAAAAGCUUAUUAUGAAGCUCUCACAGUUUAAGAAAAAACAUUUCAAUGUAGAGUUGAAGCUCUCACAGACAAGUCAAGGCCCAGGACUAGGAGUCGUGAAAUUCACUUUGAACCAGCCUGGACGCACUUAAAAUAGUAAUUCUGUUUUCUUAAUUUUACGAAUAAUUCACUCAAGGAGAGAUUGCUUAUAGAACUCCCUUUUGUUCAUCAGAAUAAACAAAGGGGGAUUUGGGAUAUAUGCAUUACAAAGAUGCGGAGCUUUGUCCCUUCAUAUAAACUCUCAUAUAUAGAAAUCAUCGGAUGAGGAAAUAGAUCGAAACAUAGCUAAUUAAUAGUAUAUUAAAGUAAUAUAAUUUUAGAAGAUGGAAAUAUUAUGAGAACCCACUAAUUAUAUGUAUGCAAAAAAACAAUCAAUUUUGAAUAAACUUGCAAAACCAGGUGUUUGCUUUGGCUUAAGGAAGUGCCUUCUGGUUUUUAGCACCAAAUUAAAAGAGAGGUGUGCAUAUAUAUAAGAAACUUCACAGAUUAAAUUGACCAGAAACUCUAAUUGUUGUCAUGAUUAAUUGCAUGUAGAAAAAUCCUGACAAUAAAUUUUUUUUUGUUUUUAUUAUUUAUGUUUUGGUUCUUUAGUAAUAAGGGUAUGAUCGAGGACCACACAACCCAUUUCACUGAUCACAAAUUCAAGAGAAAGGAACAGUACAAGCAAUGGACAAGGAGAAACAGACGACCAUACAAAUAAGAGUCGGGAGGCCGAAUGUAUUGGGGCAGCCACCUCUCUGUUUUUAAAAAAGCGUAAGCGUGUGCUCCUCUUCUCGGUCAACAGUCAAAACUAUUUUAUUUCUUAAACUUUACGCAGCACGGGCCACUUUUCUUGGCUUUUUGCUCAGAUGAUUUUUGUAUUAUAGCUCUUUUUAUUAUUGUUAUUAUUUCAGAAAAAUAUCCUGAACUGGAAAAUAAAAUGGAGCUGCUCGUCUCGCAACAUGUGAUCCUCGUAGGGCUUAAGUCUAACCAGAUUCACUGAUCAAUAAAGAAAAUUAUCAUUGUAACAAUUUUUUUAAAAUAUUUGUUAUUAAAAAAUAUAUUAAAAUAAUAAAUUUUUUAUUUUAAAAAAAUUAUUUUUUAUAGCAACAGAACAGUAUAUAAAUAUAAAAAUAAUCAAAUUUAAAUAAAUAAAAUAAAAUUUAACCAAUACCCAUUUAAAACGAAAUAGCAAACUGGGAUUAAGAAACACAGAAUUAAUCAAAUAGUAUUUUGGAUAAUGAUAAUUUUGUUGGGCCACCGAAUUAGGUCACUGAAGAACUUUUUAGUAAAGGAUUAAUUACUAUGCUCUUAUCCACACAAUCCUUCAUCACCAUCCAAUCCCAUCACUGGAAAACUUAUCCUCUUUGAUCUCAAUGCCCUUCUGCCAUCCCCAAAUAUAAGCUUUUAUCCCUUUUCCUUUGUAUUUUGUCGUUUGUGUCUGUCCACUGGCUUAAGGGUGUUUAGUAAUUCUAUAUACGGUUUUUUAAAAAAUAUUUUUUAAAUAAAAAUAUAUUAAUAUAAUAUUUUUAAACAUUUUUUAAUACUAACACAUUAAAAUUAUUAAAAAAAUAUUUUUUAAUCUAUUACAUACAAGCAAGCUGAUACAUAAUUCCCACAUUAAAAAAAGAUAUUUAUUAAUAAAGUGUUUGAAGUUGUUUUUUAAAUUAUUUUUUAUUUAAAAAUACAUUAAAAUAAUUUUUUUUAUUUUUUUUAAAUUAUUUUUAAUAUCAUCAUAUCAAAAUAAUCUAAAUAAAUUAAAAAAUAAUAAUUUAUUUUAAAAAAUACUUUUAAAAUAUAAAAAUAAAACACAAACCCUAACCUCAACCCUUUGUGAACCCAAUGACCUCAUCAUUUCUUUCUGUACAUUUUGCGUGUGUUAAAGGACGCUCCUAAGGCCACGCUCAUAACAGGACGGUGGAUGAUUACGACCAGAACAAGGGUUUAUCAAGGAUCGGAAGAGGGCCAGGAGGGUUUAGAGGACACGUGUCAAGUCUUAUCAUAAAGGUUAAAAGGUGAUUCAUGAGAUUAAGCAAGUCCUUUGAACCAGCCGCCAUCUUUGACCCUCUCCUCUGGAAUACCACUACGGGCCACAAUAUGGAUCCUUUUUUGUUUCCUGUCAAUUAUUCAAUUCAAGUAGGAACCUGAUACGAGUUAGAUUUUAAGUCUAGAUUUUGAUUUAUUAUAUAUUUUUUAAAUUGAUUUUUUUUAUUUUUCUCCAUUAAUAUCUUUCCUUACGGGUAAAUAAAAAAAACAUAUUUCAUUGUUCUUUUUAGAAGAUAUUUGGAAUCAUUUGCUGGAUCUAUUUUCUGUUUUUAUUUUCAAAUUUUGAACUGACUCCUCAGGAAACAAUUCCAACCAAUUAUCUGCCAUGGAAUUUGGAGGAUGUAUAAUUCCAAGUGGGCAUGCUGCAUUUCUUAGCCAGGUGGAGCAAGAAUUGAGGUAGCUUGUUUCUGGCUUUUGCUUCUCUGGGUAUGAUUUGUUGUGUUUUCGUCCUUUCUGUUAAUUUAUCUAAAUAUAAACUUUAUAAUCUUUUAAAUGAAAUUAGCGUUCUUGAUUUCUAGGUGGUAGAUAUAACAGUAAUAUUAUUAAAAUAAAAAUAAAUAAAUAAAUAUGCUUAGACUUUUACCAUGUAGCAAUAGAGAAAACAUGACGUCUCUCUGUUUUUUUUUUAAGCAUUUUUGUUUUUAAUUUCAUUAUAAUAAUUUAUUUCAAUAAGCUUAGCAUGCUUAUUAUGAAGCUCUCACACAAUAUUAUUAAAAUUNNNNNNNNNNNNNNNNNNNNNNNNNNNNNNNNNNNNNNNNNNNNNNNNNNNNNNNNNNNNNNNNNNNNNNNNNNNNNNNNNNNNNNNNNNNNNNNNNNNNUUUUAAUAUUAGCACAUCAAUAUCAAAACAUUAUAGGAACACUAAAACAAAUUUAAUUUAAAAUAAAAAAAAUUUAAAGUUUUAUAAAAAACAAGGUUUGACUGCACCAUGUCUCAGUCAUAUAAGUUGAUAUAUGUGUUUGGAUGGGAGGUAAAUUGUGUUUUUUUAGGUUAAAAGUAUAUUUUUUUAGCUUUUGAAAAUAUAAUUUAUACUUAAAAGAUUUUAUAUCUUAAAAAAAAAAUACAACUACAUCUUCGAGCCAAACACGUGCUUGAGUGAUUCUUGGCAAUCAAUUCCUGGAUCAAGACGAUAAGGUCCAGCCAGAGGUAAAACCUGAUGCAGCUACCGACUUAAAUAUUUUCAUUUAAGGAAGUGCAGCGUUUGUGUCCCGAGAGAAGCCACCAGGCAAAUACUAAGAUCAUUUUUUAUUUUAUAAUGUAAAUGUAUUUUUCAAAAAAAAGUUAAAAUUUGUUUUAUUUUAAAUUAAUUUUUUUUAAUAUUUUUAAAUUAUUUUAAUGUAUUAAUAUCAAAAAUAAAUUUUUUAAAAAAUAUUAUUUAUACAUAUUUUUAAAUAAAAAAUACUUUAAAAAUCAAAUCUCAUUUCAAACUGGCAGUGCCCUGUACCAAACUAUAUUAUCAACAAGAUUUUCCUCGUAUGAAUUAAAGCAUUCUGCAUUUGACACAACUUGAAAAACAUGUUUCUUCUUAAAUUAUUAUUUCCAUGUGUUUUUUAAAAUCUAAAUAUUUGAGAAUUGGUGGGGUUGAUUUUGUUAGCUUGAUAUGCUUUCGUCUUUGCUAUCCAUUUUUUUUUUGGUUACUUUUGUAUGCUUUCCUCUGUUGCUAAUAUCCACCUCAGCAAGUAGCAUCUAGUUAUAAACACCUUGGGUAUAUUAGUAAAAUAGAAAAACAUUCAUUAUAAUUUGUCUCACAAAAAUUUCAAGGUUAAGUAAAAUCACUCUGCUCUGAUAGACACACUCAAAUGCAGAAAGAUAAAAACUACCAAAUACACCUUAAACCCUGUUUAUUUUUAUAUUUUAAAAAUACUUUUAAAACAAUUUAAAUGUUAGACUGGUUUAUCUUUACAAUCGCAAUGUGUUUUUAAAAAAUAUAUUUUUAAUAUUUUUUAAUUAUUUUGAUAUUAUGAUAUAAAAAAUAAAAAAUUUAAAAAAUUAUUUUAAUAUAUUUCUAAAUAAAAAAUAUUUUUAAAAAAUAUUUACAGCAUGCAUAAAUAUACUAUUCUUCUUAGAAAAUUUCAUGUGUUUACAUUUUCUUGGCAGCUUCUUCGAAGUUUCAACAUUGGUGGGGGUCCACACGUUAACUUUUUAUAUCUUAUAAUAUAAUAUGUGUGUUUGGUAGUGAUAAUUUUUUUAUUAAUUUUUUUUUAAAUAUACAUUAUAUUUUUUUAAAUUAAAAAUAUAUAUUUUUUAUAUGGCCAUAAAAAAAAACCAAAAUAAUCUCCAAACACUCUCAUGUUUGGUAGGUGAGCGGUGGGUUGCUUCCUGACAACGUCCUUACUAUCAGGCAAUACGUUAAUUAAUUAUUAUUUUAGCUGAUUAUUUUAUUUUUAAUUUUAUAUUCAUGGGAAUUUGAGGUUAAUAAUUUAUUUUAAUUAAUUAUGAAGUUCUCAAGGUAAAAAAAAAAAAAAGCUUCAACGAUUAAUUUAAGUUGGUAUUUGAUUUGAUAAAAUUUUAUUCAAUUUAAUUUAUUAAAAAUAAUUGAAACUUUGAACAUCAAAUAUGAUACUGAAAUAAAAAAGCAGCCUGUUGUGUUUUUCAAAAUUCUGUUCCCUAGAGUUUUUGCAUUUUGCAUUUUAAUUUUAAUUUUUGAUUUUUAAUUUUAAUUCAAAAUUUUAUUUUAUUAAUUUUUUAAUCUAUGAAUUUGAGAUAAAAAAUCACUAAAAAACUCGGAAAAAAUGGAAAAUUAUUGGCCGACAAUUUUAGCAACAAAAAAACACGAUAAUCCUUGUAUUAAUGGAAAACUAGUGUGCAGAUUGGAUAUCAAAUCAUACUUUAUAGGUCGAGGGCUAAAAAUAUAAAUCUGUAGAAGGGUGUUGGAAAAAAUAAUAAUUUCCAUUGGUGUGGAAAAGUUUAAAGUUCAGAUAUACUAUUAUAGAAUAAGAUAAUUUGAUGGUGUAAUAAUUAUUAUUUUUUAAAUUAUUUUUUUAUUUAAAAAUAUAUUAAAAUAAUAUUUUUUUAUUUUUUAAAAUUUAUUUUUAAUAUUAAAAUGUCAACACAAAAUGCACAUAGUUGUAAAACAUGAUAGGAGGAAGUUUGAGUCAUAGAUUAAGAGAGGCGUUUUAUUUUUUUUUAAAAAUCAAAAUAAUAUUAUUUUAAUAUUUUUUUUUAUAAAAAAUUAAGGAAUUAAAAGCUGAGUAAAUCAAGUUAAGAAAUCACUUAGAUUCUUGAUUAAAUCAGCUGAUGACCCGUUAACUUUGGCAGGUAUACAUUAAUUUAUUUUCUUGGCAGGUUCUUCGAAGCGUCAACAUUGGGGCGGGUCCACACGUUAACUUUCUAUAUCUUAUAAUGUAAUAUGUUUGGGUUGCUUCCUGGCAACUUCCUUCCUUCCUAUCAAACAAUACUUUAAUUAAUUAAUUAAUAAAUAAAUAAUAGUAUUUGUAACAUUCGCUAGCGGCUGUAACAUUCGCUUCCACAUCUCCUCUCAUUAUAGAAUUCUCUACUUUCCUUUCCACAUCUCAUGAUCAGUGCGAACUAGAUUUAUGUAUGCUGCAACUUUAUUAUUUUUCUAAACCAUACAUUCUUCUCUGAUCUGUGAUUUCUCUUCCUUUUCUUUUGGCUGAUCACUGCUUAAGCAAACCAGCACUUGAAGAACAUCUUGAAUCCAGGCAAAUUAUUUGUCAUUCAUCUUGUCUGAAUCUUUAAAGUAAUCCAUGAUAAAUAGAUAGAUCUUUUUCUCAGAUUUUAUAAUCCAUGCCCUGUGGUGUUCAUACUGAUUAAAUUAACCCCAAACGUUGAAUUCAUUGUUUUCGUCUUUUCAAGAUUCUUUGCUGUUUUUAACUCCUUAUUUUAGAUUCACCCUUUUCUUUUCCAAUUAAUGGGACUGCCAUUGAUUUUUAAUUAAUAUUUUUCGACUUUUGUUUCUUACAAUGAUUCAAUGAAUUAACUUGAUCGGUAAUUACCUUUCAAUAAACAAAAUAAGAAUAAUUAAAAAAGAAUAAAUAGGAGUUGAAAGAGGUUUGUUUAACAGUAAACAAUGAAUCUUGCAUUUGUUUUGCUCCCCAAAUUAUGAAUAAAGAGGAGUUGAAAGAGGUUUCUGUUCACCCCGUCAAAACAAUCAGCUCUUCUACCUUCAACAGUUAUCCUGCAUCUUUCUAUCUAUCAUAAAAAGAAUUUGAGUAUGAUAAUUUAUCUUAAAAGACAAAGGAUUAAAUCAUUAACAACAACAUUUAUAUUUCAUAUUUUUCAUCCGAAUUUCUUUAACAAACAAGAAAGUCAUAUAUAUAUAUAUAUAUUCUUUUCUGAUCUGUGCUUUCUGUUCUUUUUAGACCUCAGUUUUUUUUGUCUUUUCUGAUCUUUUCUGGUCAGAUGGAAGGGUUCCAACCAUCUUUUAUGGAGGAGGUUGACAACAUGACAUGGGAUCAGCUGGGUUUUCAAUCAGAAGAAGAUACAUUCAAUAUGUCUGAGCUUCUCUCGUACGUCAUUCUUAAGCAUAUUUUAUCAGAAGAUGAUUGCUUGCAGUUUAGUUAUUCUUCAGUUUAUCCUAUUAUUCCCAAAAAACAAUAUAAUGUCGUCACUGUCCAUGGAAGCAGGCCGCCACCGGAGGUUCCAGUCAACCAAAGCUCCAUAUCAUGCAAUGAUCAAGGUGGACAGAACAAUUUGAUCAACGAUAGUAUUCAACAAACAACUCAGUUUCCAACUUCAUUUCCUGAAACAAUGGUGAGUACUCCAAUUUGCUACAAUGUCCAUUGAAUUAGCAAGUGUUUGUAUUAUACAAAAAAGUUUUAUGUUUAGUGUAUCGAUCUCGAGCAUCUUCAAAUUGUUUACUGUUAAACAAAUAGACAACAAUUGGGAGAUUUAGACAUUUUUUAUGAUAUUUUUUUAUCAUUAAGUUUUAUAUAAAAUUGGCCUCAAACUCCAUCAAGGCAUCAUAAUUCCUUUAUUCAUCAACCUCAGCCGGGACAUGGCUAUAUGACACCGAACGCAACCACUUCACAACAUGAUGGCUUCAAUCAACCGAAAUUUUCUAAAUAUGGACUUUAGAAUCCUUCUUGAUUUCUUGACGGUAGAAAUAACAGGACUAUUAUUAAAAUAAAAAUAAAUAAAUAAAUAUGCUCAGACUCUUACCAUGUACCAAUAGAGAAAACAAGGUAGAUGUCUCUCUGUUUUUUUUUAUAAAGCAUUUUUGUUUUUAAUUUCAUUUGAUAAUUUAUUUCAAUAAACUUGUUAUGGAGCUCUUGUGGUCUAAGAAGAAAAAACAAUUCAAUGUAGAGUUGAUGUUUGACUUAACAAGAUUUUGUUCAAUUUAAUUGAUUAAAAAUAAGUGAAAUUUUGACCGUCAAAUUUGAUAUUAAAAUUUUGAAGAUAAAUAUUGAAGACUGAAUUUGAUAUUAAAACUAAAAAUAAGUAGAAAGUUUUUACAAAGGUAAAUGUUAUGAAAAGAAAUUGCUAUCCAACUGGUGUGCAGAUUGGAUAGCAAAUCAAGCUAUGUUGAAGUUUUCUACUGCAGUGAAGCUCCCUCUGGUUGCUUGAAGCUAAUGCCUGAUUGUUGCGUUCCUGGGAUUUUGAUAAGUGUAUGAAAGUCUAUUUUAUCAUUAAUUUGUUUUUAUGUUUUAAAAAUAUUUUAAAAAAAUUAAUUUUUUAUUUUAAAUUUAUUCUAACUCUUUUGUUUUAUCAUUCUCAAAGUCCAAACAACAACGGUACUGUCAAGAUUGUUAUGUUUAUGCCCGCAAUCUAAACGUAAUUUGUUUUUGUACUCAGAGUUAUGUUUAUUAAAAAAUCUGGUUAUUUUAAAAAAAUAUUAAAUUAAUAUUUUUUAAUUUAUUAAUAUUAAAAAUAAAAAAAUAUUUUGAUUACUCAGAAUAAAUAAGAAGCUUUAUAAUAGUUAAGAAACGUAUUCCAAAGUUUAGUUUACUGGUUGACUCACAUAUUAACUGAAUAACUUGAGUAAAAAAGAAAACCACAUCAUAUUAUGAUGGUAUUUAUUAAAAAAUAAAAAUAAAAUAACAAUAUUUUUUUUUAAUAUUAUCUUUUUAAAUAUUUUUAUUUUAAAAAAGUUUCACAUAGUUGUAGGUAAAAAAAAAAAAAAGAUGUUUUAAUUUAGCAACGAUGGAGCAUCCACAAGAAAGAUAUUAUACGGUUAUUAAUUUUCAUUAAAAGAAAAGCUAAGAGACUUGGGAGAACUACUUCAUUGUAAAUUACAAUAGUACGCAAUUCAAGGUGUUUUGCCUUUUUUGUUUUGUUUUUUAAAAUUUGUUUUUGUUUAUUUUAUAAUAGGCUGGUUAUAAUUCAGCUUUAAUUUAUUAAUUUUUAUUCUAUUUUUUUAUAAGAUUAACGUAAUUUAUAGGUUUGUUAAAAUAACUCAAAUUAUACUAGUUUUCAGAUUUGGUGGGAUAUUUUUUUGUUUAUUAAUUAAAAGAAAAACUAAAAGGUAUAAGAGAAUCACUAUUUACCCACACUCAAUUCAUUAUAAAUUACAAUAGUAAUCUAUAGUGUUUUGUCUUUUCCCUUUUUUUCCUUUUUUUUUAUCAUUUUUAAAAAUAAUUUUUUUGUCUAUUUCAUAUUUGGGCCGAAUUAGCAUAUAUAUAUAUAUAUAUAUAUAUAUAUAUAUAUAUAUAUAUUGGGUUGGUGUUUAAUUUUACAAGUAAGUAUCUAUUUUUGUUAUCAUAUUAUUAAAUAAAAAUAAUUUUUUAAAAAAGUAUACUCCUAGUUAAGUCCAUAACCUUGUUCAUGGGUUAGAUGUGCUAGCCUAAGUUACCUGAUUCACGAGUUUGACAGGUUUAUCAAUUGAUCGAAUAUGUUUUUUUUUCUAGUCUUUUAAUUUUUUUAAUUGAUUUUUUUUAUAAUUUUGUCCUUCAAUAUUAGAUUGGUUUGGAAAUAGACUAAAUGAUUUAUUUUUGUUUGCUUUCUAUAGGGUUAUCAAAAUCUUAAAUAAAUAUUUAUUUUAGGGAUGAUACUCAAUUUUAUGAGCAUUUAUUUUUAUCAUAUAAUUAAAUUAAAAAAAAACUUAAAAAAAUUACUAAACCCAAUAGAAUCCAUGACCCAGAUCGCGAGGGACCGGGAUCGAUCAAAUUUGUCAUUGUUUCAAUUUUUUUUUUUUAAAAAAAGUUGUUGUCUAGAAGUUUUUAUUAAAAAACUAAGCCAUGCUUUACUAGUUUUCUAAGUUGUAUUUAGAUAUUAAUUGAUUUAAAUUGAGUUAAUUUCCAUACAAUUUAAUUAAAAACUUAAAUUAAAUAAAAAAUUAGAUUAAAAGAUUUUAAUAUCAACUCCCCUAACCAGGUUUAAUAAUAUCGCCAACAAACUUUCUUCACUCUUAACAUUUUAUUUUUAUAUUUUUUAAAAAUUAAUCCCCUAAAAAAACUAUGACAUAUUAUUGAGUGUAGGUUUUGUUUAUUAAAAGUAAGGAUUGAGUCUUUGACUGCAUGUAAUGGCAUUGACUGAAAACCUUUAAUCACAUGCUAUUAAUCUGUUAUUGUUAGAGCACAUGCUUUUCAAAAACUUUGAAUUAUUUUCCUUUUAAAUUAUUAUUUUUUUAUUAAAAAUAAAUUUAAAAAAUAAAAAAAUUAUUAUUUUAAUUAUUUUAAAUAAAAAAUAUUUUUAAAAGAAAAGUAUAUUAUUGUUUCUCAUAUUCAUGUGUUUACAUUUUCUAGGAAUCUUCUUCUAAGCUUCAUAAUUGGGUAGGUAAAGUAGUGUUUUUAACUCCUUAUUUUAGAUUCACCCUUUUCUUUUCCAAUUAAUGGGACUGCCAUUAAAAUAUGCUUUUCACCAUUUAUUUGUUUUUCUUUUAUUUUGACUUACGUAACGUGUGUACCCAGCAAUCCACUCGUGUGUGUGUCUAUAUAUAUAUAUAUAUAUAUAUAUAUAUAUAUAUAUAUUAAUUUGCUAUGUGCUUUCUGUUCUUUUUUCACCUCAGUAUGUACUAAUCAUCUUGUACUUUUGGUCAGAUGGAAGGGUUCCCACCAUCUUCUAUGGAUGAUCUUGAAUCACUAUUUCUCUCGUACGUCAUUCUUAAACAUAUUUUAUCAGAAGAUGAUUGCUUGCAAUGUAGUUAUUCUUCCGUUUAUCCUAAUAUAUUAUUCCAUGGAAGUAGGCCGGCACCGGAGGUUCCAGUCAACCAAGGCUCCAUAUUAUGCAAUGAUCAAGGUGGACAUAAGAAUGUGAUCAACGAUAGUAUUCAACAAACAACUCAGUUUCCAACUUCAUUUCCUGAAACCAUGGUGAGUACUCAUGCUUACUCCAAUUUGCUACAAUGUCCAUUGAAUUAGGCAUCAUUAUUCCUUUAUUCAUCAACCUCAGACGGGACAUGGCUAUAUGACACCGAAUGCAACCACAUCACAACAUGGUGAAUUCAAUCAACCUGGACCUUCUUCUCUUGCUCCCUGGUAUCCAAUUUUUCAUUUUAGUAUUUUCUGAAAAAAAAAAAAAGUUUUUCAAUCAUUAUUUAACUUCUUCUUCUUCUUCCUCUUGUUGUUGUACUUAUCAGUGAAUUCAUUAUGUUUGAAUAUAGGUAUCAGCCUAAUCCUAAUUUAUUUGAUCCUCAAUGUGCCAAUCCUUUGAGGUAAGCUAAAAUGAUAUCAAAUACUUAGUGGAUUAAUAGCAAAGAAUUAUGCAUAUGUAUAAAGAAAUUACUAACAAGUGUUGCUAAUUUAGGGACCAACAAUUGACUAAUUAUCAGUUACCAAUGAGCAAUCAAGUGCCUGCGAUGCUACCUGGACCUCAUCCUCCAAUGAAUCAAUGGUAUUAACCUCGAAUAUAUAUACACUUUUUUAAUCAUGAAAACAAUAAACCAAAAUUGACAAGGAUCUUUCAAGUCUUUCUGAGCUCUCUCUCUCUCUCUCUCUUUUUGUGCACAUAAUGGAACUAGAAAAUCAACCAAGUUAGAAUAACAGUUCUAAGUUUAACUAUUUGAAUAUUAUUCAGGCAUCUGAACUCCAAGAAUUUAGUUUUUCAAUCAGGAAAGAAACAUCAUAGCUUGAACAUGAACCCACCAAGCUAAACAUAAGUUUGUAAUGCUUCAUAUUGUCUGCGAAUGAUUUUGGAUUCAGGAUUCAACAUUUUCCUAAUCAAGGACAAGUCGAUCAAGCUUUUGCAAUUCCUAAUAUAGACAAUAUGCAACAGGAGAACUUCGUGCCUCAAAACUUUGACAACUCUACUAGGUACUGAUCAAACUUUGGCAAUAUAUAUGCUGUCGUGUUUUAACACAGUAUUAAUACCUUUUUGAUAAUUAGAUACACCAUUGAUUUUUAGUGCUUAAGAGAGACUACCAAUUAUCGAAAGGUUUUAUAAUAUGAUCACUUCAUUUUCAUAUAGGUCACAGAUGGAUAACCUCCGAGUCCGAGGAUUGCAAAAUCAAACAGCUAGGCCAAAUGCCUCAAAUCCUGGCCUUGGCACUUCCCUGCAAAGUCAAAAUAGGGGUUUAAAUACUCAACAAGUAAGAAGUAUAACUGAAUUAUCGUCGUCUUUUUUCCCCCUUUGACUGUGCUCUAAACUAACUAUCAAUUUUAAUAACAAAAUAAGGGUAACUUGAUCCGUUAAUUUUUAUUCCAUAUUUUGACCGAUUUUUAUUCUAUAUUUGACUUCUUUUUUCUUCUAUAGGUCGAAAUGGUUGGAUCAAAUGAUCCGUUUUGGAAUUAUGUUGAAGAUGGGGCUGAUGAUGGUAGCAUGAAGUGUAUGUUUUGUCCACAUACAUAUGCCAUUAAAACUUCCAUUUCAAGGAUCAAAUGGCAUUUAUCAGGAGAGAGAGGGAACGGUGUUGCCAUUUGUCGUGGGGUGACUAAAGAAGUUCAAGAAGCAGCCUUUCAAGCUAUGUGUGGUGGCAACAAAAGACAUAAAAACACAGCAAGUUCAAUCAAUGUUAAUGAUUGUGGAAUUUCAACAAUGGUAGGAGGUAUUGGAAGGGUACAAAGAGAAGUUCAGGUUGUAGAACCCGGAGUAGGGGAAGAGAGGAUUACUUCACAAGCAAUAGCAGGAAACGACGAAGUAAGCAUGACGGGAAUGAGAGCACAAGAAGGUAGAGUUUCCAAAGGGGCACUCGAGAGCAGACUGAGGACAGAACCAGCGGAUCGAGCGUUGGAACAAAGCAAUGCAGUACUUGGCAAUUUGGCAGGAGUUCAGGGGGUGCUGGAACAAGGUGCCGGGGAAGAGAGAAUUAAUCGGGUUAGACAGAGGACAGAACCAGUGGAGGAGGAUGUGGAGUGGAGGAGGAUGUGGAGAAUAGUCAAAGAUCAGUGCAGGUUGGUGCUGGAGCUAGAUCUUCUGAAAGUCUGAAAUACAACAAGACUAGAGGAGUUCCAUUACCUACUAGCUCUACAAAGCCAGUGGGUCAAGCAUUCGAAGAGAAUACGAAGGUGAUAUGGUCUUUCUUAAUGGAUGGGGAUGUCUCAAUCAUUGGCAUUUAUGGGAUGGGAGGAGUUGGUAAAUCCAAAAUACUGAAACAUAUCCAUAAUGAGCUUCUACAACAACCAGAUAUUUGUGAUCAUGUUUGGUGGGUGACUGUAUCUCAAGAUUUCAGCAUUAACCGACUGCAGAAUCUUAUUGCUGAACAUUUUGAUCUAGAUCUUUCAAGAAAAAAUGAUGAACUGCAUAGAGCUGCCGAAUUGUCAGAAAAAUUAAAAAAAAAACAAAAAUAGAUUCUCAUUUUAGAUGAUUUGUGGAACAAUUUUAAGUUACACGAAGUGGGAAUUCCUGAGAAGUUGAAAGGAUGCAAGCUGAUUUUGACAACCCGAUCAGAAAGAGUUUGUCAUGGAAUUGCUUGCAAUCACAAAAUCCAAGUGAAGCCACUUUUUGAGGGAGAAGCUUGGACGUUGUUCAAGGAGAAUCUUGGACGUGACAUAGCACUUUCAUUAGAAGUGGAAGGAAUUGCGAAAGAUAUUGCAAAGGAAUGUGAUGGUUUGCCAUUGGGAAUUAUUACAGUGGCAGGAAGCUUGAGGGGAGUGGAUGACCUCCAUCAGUGGAGGAAUACAUUGACGAAAUUGAGAGAAUCAGAAUUUAGGGAUAUAGAUGAGAAGGUAUUCAGGUUAUUGAGGUUUAGUUAUGAUCGGUUAGGUGAUUUAGCACUACAACAAUGUCUCUUGUACUGUGCAUUAUUUCCUGAGGAUGAUCAUAUUAAAAGGGAAGAGUUGAUAGGUUAUUUGAUCGAUGAGGGAAUAAUUAAAAGAAAGAGGAGCAGGGGAGAUGCAUUUGAUGAGGGCCACACGAUGCUUAAUAAACUUGAAAAUGUCUGUCUAUUGGAAAGUGCUAAAAUGGAUUAUGAUGGUAGUAGAUGUUUCAAGAUGCAUGACUUGAUUAGGGACAUGGCCAUCCAAAUACUGCUAGAGAACUCUCAAGGCAUGGUCAAAGCAGGUGCACAAUUAAAAGAGUUGCCAGAUGCAGAGGAAUGGAUGGAGAAUCUGACGAGAGUUUCAUUAAUGCAAAACGAGAUCGAAGAAAUUCCUUCCAGCUAUUCACCAAGGUGUCCCUAUCUAUCAACUCUAUUUCUACGUGAUAAUGACCGGUUGAGAUUUGUUGCGGAUUCAUUUUUCAAGCAAUUGCAUGGGCUCAAGGUCCUCGAUCUGUCUUACAAAGGUAUUGAAAAUUUGCCAGACUCUGUCUCUGAUUUGGUGAGUCUCACUGCAUUAUUGCUCAAAGAGUGUGAGAACUUACGUCAUGUUCCAUCAUUAGAGAAGCUCAGGGCACUGAAGAGGUUGGAUCUCUAUUGGACUCCGCUUAAAAAGAUGCCGCAAGGAAUGGAAUGCCUAACCAACCUGAGGUAUCUUAGAAUGAAUGGAUGUGGUGAAAAGGAGUUUCCCAGUGGGAUAUUACCAAAACUCUCUCACCUGCAAGUCUUUGUACUAGAAGAGUUAAUGGGGCAAUUUUCUGAUUAUGCUCCGAUAACAGUUAAAGGAAAGGAAGUACGAUCCUUGAGAAAUUUGGAAAGUUUGGAAUGCCAUUUCGAAGGUUUCUCUGACUUCGUGGAGUAUCUCAGAUCUCGGGAUGGGAUCCAAUCAUUAAGCAAAUAUACAAUUAUAGUAGGAAUGGUGGAUACAGAUAAGUGGAUUGGCACUUGUGCUUUUCCAAGUAAAACAGUUGGGUUGGGUAAUUUGAGUAUCAACGGAGAUGGAGAUUUUCAGGUCAAGUACUUAAAUGGCAUUCAAGGACUGGUUUGUGAAUGCAUCGACGCAAGAAGUUUAUGUGAUGUUUUGUCAUUAGAGAAUGCAACUGAACUUGAGCUCAUCAGAAUUGAGGAUUGCAAUAACAUGGAGAGCUUGGUUUCAUCUUCUUGGUUCUGCUCUGCUCCACCACCAUUGCCAUCAUAUAAUGGUAUGUUUUCUAGUCUUAAAAUGUUUUAUUGUUAUGGAUGUGAAAGUAUGAAGAAGCUGUUCCCGCUUGUGCUGCUACCAAACUUCGUUAACCUGGAAAGGAUUGUUGUUGAGGAUUGUAAGAAAAUGGAGGAGAUAAUAGGAACAACAGAUGAAGAAAGCAGCACCUCCAAUUCCAUCACGGAAGUCAUUCUCCCAAAGUUAAGAACUCUGAGAUUGUUUGAAUUACCAGAACUGAAAAGCAUUUGCAGUGCAAAACUGAUUUGCAAUUCUCUUGAAGAUAUUGAUGUAGAGGAUUGUCAGAAGCUGAAGAGGAUGCCAAUUUGUCUUCCGUUGCUUGAAAAUGACCAGCCAUCUCCUCCCCCUUCUCUUAAAGAAAUCACGGUAUAUCCAGAAGAAUGGUGGGAGACAGUAGUGGAGUGGGAGCAUCCUAAUGCAAAGGAUGUCCUUCGUCGCUGUGUAAGGUUUUGGUAGGAGGAGACUCCUCUGCUGCCCUUAAUAUAAUAUAAUAUAAUAUAGAACAGAGGGUAAGCAUCAUCUCUCUCAAUCGAAUUGUACCUUUCGUAUUGUUAAUCCUUUCGUUGUUAGAAUACUUCUUUGUUGCAUCAUUUAUCAAUUCUAUCCUAAUGCAAAGGAUGUCCAAAGGACCUUUUUCUCUCGAAAUAAUUAAUAUGUAGAAUGGUUAAUUACUAACCAUUACUCCGUUAAAUGUAAUAAUACGUAUCCUUCUUUUAUUAUAGGCUGGUUUAGAAUUCAGCUAAGACAUCUAAUAAAAUAUUUUUAUUCUUAGAAAUUUUGUGAAGAACAAUCAGAAAACUAAUUUAAUUAGGGAUUAAUUGAGUAAUUAAUUACCUUAACCUUACAGAGGAUUUUCUUUUAAAAUCCCAAUAGCCUGAUUCUUGGAUCACAGAAGCUUGAGACAUGGCAUUCUAACAACUUCACUUCAACUUUAUUUUAUAUUUAUAAUAAAUAAAAAGCAUGACUGUGUUGAGAAUCUAUUUUCUGUUUUUAUUUUUCAAAUUUGAGAUGACUCCUCAAAAAACAAUUCCAACCAAUUAUUUGCCCUGGAAUUUGGAUGAUGUGUAAUUACAAGUGGGCAAUAGGUGGAGCAGGAAUUGAGGUAGCUUGUUUCUGGCUUUUGCUUCUCUGGGUAUGAUUUAUUGGGCUAGUUUAUAGGAUUUUUGUCCUUUCUGUUAAUUUUAUAUUAAUUUUUUUAAUUUUUAAUUUAAUUAUUUUUUUGUGUUUUCAAAUUGUUUUGAUGUGUUGAUAUUAAAAAUAAUUUUUUAAAAAUAAUAAUAAAAUAUUAUUUUGAUACAUUGCCAAAUAAAAGAUAUUUUGAAAAAUAAUUGAUAUUGUACUCUCAAACAUCCUUAAAUGCUCUAUUAUUGAAAUAAAAUGCUAAAAUGUGAAUAGAAAUAAUAGAAAUUAAUGUGUAUUUUUGAAUUAAAUUUCUAUUUACUUUGAUAUACUCUUGAACAGGUCUUUAUGUUUGAUUUCAGAGUUUAUAGAAGAGCAAGUCAAGGCCCAAUCAAAUUCAAAGGAGUCGUGAAAUUCACUUGAAACCAGCCUGGAUACACUUAAGUAUUUUAAUCACAACUUUUCACUCACAUAUCAGAUUGCUGUGAUUCUUGACGUGUUGGAAAGGUGUCUUAAAGGGCUACAAAUUAGCCUCUAAUGAGGAUUUCGAAAGAAGAACUCCUAAAGCAUGUACACGGGGAUCAUGGAGACGUGAUGAAAAAGGAGGGCUGCUUCCUUUAGAAAAAGGGAUAUUUGUUGGCAAUUGCGCCAGAGAAAAAAAAAAGAAAAAAAAAGAAAAAGGAGAGCAGGCAAGGAAAGGAAUGGCUAAUACAGUGAUGUGUAGCGAAAUUGUUCAGAUUUCCAAUUAUUCCAACUCUUUUGUUUUAUCAUUCUCGAAGUCCAAACAACAACGGUACUGCCAAGAUUGCUAUGCCCGCAAUUAAAAUAUAAUUUAUUUUUAUUUUUGGAAUUAUGUUUGAGUGCAUUUAAAAAUCUGUUUAUUUUAAAAAAAUAUUAAAUUUGAGUGCAUUUAAAAAUUUGUUUAUUUUAAAAAAAUAUUAAAUUAAUAUUUUUUAAUAUAUUAAUAUUAAAAAUAAAAAAAAUAUUUUGAUUACUAAUAACGAAUAGUUAAGAGACGUACUGGUUGACUCACAUAUUAACUGAUUAACCUGAGUAAAAAACAAAACCACAUCAUAUUAUUUAUUUAUAAAAACUAAAACGAUGGUAUUUAUUUUAAAAAAAACUAAAAUAACAAUGUUUUUUAAAAUAUUUUUAUUUUAAAAAAGUUUCACAUAGUUGUAGAUAAAAAAAAAUAUUUUAAUUUAGCAACGAUAAAGAAUCCAUAAGAAAGAUAUUAUACAGUUAUUAAUUUUCAUUAAAAGAAAAGCUAAGAGACUUGGGAGAACACCUAUUUAUUCACACCUAUUUCAUUGUAAAUUAUAAUAAGUAAUCUAAUGUGUUUUGUUUUUUUUUUUUGUUUUUUUUAUUAGUGGGCUGAUUUAAAAUUCAACUUUGUAAUUUAUUUAUUUUUAUUAUGUUUUUUAUAAGAUUAAUAUAAUUUACAGGUUUGUUAUAAUAACUCAAAUUAUAUUAAUUUACUGAUUUAAUAUUUUAAAAAAAUUAAUCCAGCACGGAAAAACACUAGCCACCAAAACUAGCACUAGGUUUUGUUCAUUAAAAGUAAGGAUGGAGUCUUUGACUAGCACUAGGUUUUGUAAAGCAAGGAUGGAGUCUGUGACUGCGUGUGCCUCUAAUCAGCAACAGAUUGGUAACGGCAACGAUUGAAAACCUUUAAUUUGUCUUCUAAUUUUUUCCCUAUUAGUAAUUGUUACGUAAUCAGAUUCGCUUCAUGUUCAAUAAUUGUUUUUUUAUUUUUUAAAAUUUAUUUAUUUUAUUUUUAAUAUUAAUAUAUUAAAAUUAUAAAAAAACAUUAAAAAAAUCUAUUUAUCUUUUUUAAAAAACAACUAAAAACAAAAGCAAUCACCUGCUCUUAAUUAAUCACAUCUUUAAUAUUUAAAACAUUGUUAAAGCACACGUUUUUCAAAAACUUUGAAUUUUUUUCUUUUUAAAUUAUUAUUUUUUUAUGAAUGAUGAAAAUAGUCCUUUAAAUCAACAAGGAUAUUUUUAUUAAUUGAUAUUAAAAUUACUUGCAUGAUGCUUUUGGAUUAAAGAUGCUCAAUGGUUGGAUUUGGGUCGGUUUGAAAUUGUAUUGCCAAUUCCAUAUUUCAAAGAAAAAUCGAAGCCUAACAUGAAUUCAUAGAAAGAGCGUUUAUUAAUAUGAAAUAUUUCUUUUUUAUAUUGUGUUCUUACAAUUACAUAAAUAACAUUUUUCAUUUUUUUAUUUAUUUCAUUAUCUUUUUAAGACUAUUCAUAUAUAUAUUUUUUAACUCGAUAGAUAAGUAAUUAUAAUUUGAAGUUUAAUUAAUAUUAUAUUUUCAUCCUAUUGAGUUUCUCCAAGAUAAAAAUCCAAAAAAUAAUAAAAAACAAUAUAUUGAUUUAUCAUUAAAGUAACCUAAUAAAGUAAUAUGUCUAUUCAUCAGUACAAAUCAUCUUAUAUCAUUAACUAGCAAUAAAUUAUUCUUUUAAAAUAUAUAAGAAAAACAAAUUAAAGAGAGAAGACAAUUUAAAAAAAGAAUGACAAUCGAAUUACAUGACUUGGAAUUUUGAAAUUUUUAUAAGGAUAUAUUUAGAAUAAAAUUUCAUACCUCUAUCUAUUUUCCUACUACAAAAAUUCAUUCUAUUUUUCUACAUUCGUCAAGAUUUUUUAAUCUGUAUUUUUAAGUUUUUUCUGUAUUUAUAGAAACAAAAAAAAAACUAAAAGGAUUGGUUAAUCAACUCCUCAAGAUUUUUUAAUUUGUAUUUUUUAAGUUUUUUUUUUGUCUUUAUGAACAACAUAAAGUUGUUUUUUCUGUCCAUUUACAAAAAUAUAUAUCAAAAUGAAGUUUUCUACUUAGUGCCUGGUGGUUUUGUCUGAAUAAAAGGGAUAGAUGCUAAGUUCUGAGUUCAAGGAAGAGAGACAAAAAGUGGAAGGGACAACUGUGUCGAUUGUUCUCUUGAUCUGAGCUUAUUCUGUAUCAUUUUGUUGGCUGCAUUAAUUAUACCUUCACCUCCAUACGCAACUCCUCUUCAUCUCUUAAUGUUAAUAAAAAUGUAAGAAUUUAGGAACAUUUUCACAAUGAAGAUUAACUCAUCUCCAUAGCAUAAUACAGGAAAUAGAAGAUCCAUUCAUUUCAUCGCAUCUCUUCGAACAUUCUUGAAUUCUGGUCAAUCCAAAUCACAACAAAUAUCGUAAACAUGUUAAAAGUAUUCUUCUACCUCAAUGAAUUUCAGUAAAACUACUACACAGAAGAUGAGUUUUGGUUUCUAAACCUGAAACUGCCAUCAUAAGAACUAGCUAGGGAAGUUAGGAUGAGCUUUUCUUGUCAUUAUAUCACUUUUUUCUGCUAAGAUAAUGCUCUCUAUAUUCUCUGCUACUAUUGCUUAUAAUUUUCUUGCCUCUGGUAUCUUUUCCAACCCAUUUGAGGGAUGCUUGUCGAAUAGAGUUGACCUAGGAAUCCAGAAGUUAUUGGUGACAGAGGAUUUGGAUCCUUUUUCGAGAAAAAGUGAGUUGAACUGUUACAUUUUGUUUACAUUAUCUUGUUGCACUAAAUCAAGAAGUUUACUAGACUUUUUAUUCUGUAAAUUUGCUUUCUGAAUGCUGAGCAUUUUAAACGACCAUGUGAUCGGAGAGAUUUGAUUCUCAUAUAAUUGUUGGCAGCUUAUUUGUGAGCCAAGAAGUAUUAUUGAAUAAAAAUACUUUUAUUCUUUAUUUUCGGCUGGAAAGUGAAUUGAACAUUUAUUAGCUGAGUUUUCUUCUCCAUUUUAUUGAAUAAAAAUGAUUUUUUUUCUGAUUUUAUUAAGUUUUUUUAUAAGCCUGAUAAUUUGUCAGGUAAUUUUAGUAGAGUCAUUACCUAUGUAUGCUGGUCAAAAGUCAUUCCCAUCAAUAAGAUGGAGUAGCAUGAACAAUUUAUUUAUUUAUUUGUGGUUUCUGCUAACGAUUUGUUUGAUGAUUAAUAUCGAUUUAUUUCCACUUUCAUAGUAGCCUAGGUGUGUUUUUUCCGGAAUGGUUAUGAGCAUUUUUCCAAUCUGCUGGGGGUGAUGUUGGUGAUUUUUAAUCUUGGGCUUUUGGCGAGGCUUCACGCUGCUACCUUUUUCGUUCAUGAAUUUGAGAUUAAAAAAAUCACCAAAAAGCUUGGAAAAAGAUAAAAAGUUAUUGGUUGAUAAUUUUUCAACAACAAAAAAACACGAUCUUUGUAUUAAUGGAAAAAUCAUGUGCAGAUUGGAUAGCAAAUCAUAAGCAUAUGUUUGGAAUUAUAAUAGCGGUUAUAAGAUAUUAAUUUGAUAAAAUUUGAUCGAUCCAAUCAAACUUAGUUUAUAUCUGAUUAGAUUAAUUAAAAAAAUAAAAUGAUAUUAUUUUAAUAAAAAUAAUUAAUUUGAAUUAACUUAAUAAAUGACAUAUAAUAUUAAAAAAUUAUCUUAAACCAAAAAAUUUAAACAGAUUUAAAAAUAUUAUAAUGUUACUUUCUCAUAAUUUAGUAAGGAUUUGGAAGAUAUAUAUUCAAAAACAAAUUUUAUCAUGAAAUUAAGUUAUUUAAAAAAUCUGAGUCAAUUAGAACAUUGUUUGGUAAGGUGAUGGACCAUAACAAAAACAUUAUUUUUUAUGUUUUUAUUGGCAAAAUAAAGGUAUAACCAUAUUACAUCAUGUUGCCAAACAAACACAAAUCUUGAAUUUUAUUUUUAUUUGUUUUUUUUUUUAAAUUGAAAAGGCAAAUAUACUAUCAUGGACUAAGAUAAUAUUUGAUAUUGUAGUAAUGAUUUUUUUCAAAGUAUUUUUUGUUUGGAAAUUUAUUGAAAUAAUAUUUAUAUUUUAUAUUAGUAUAUCAAAAUAAUGCAAAAAUAUUAAAAAAAACAUUAAUUUGAAGCCAAACAAAUAAUAAGAAUAUUUUCACCUCGGAUUGUAUCUCUUCAUCUUUAAAAUUGUAUCUAAAAAAAUAACUAAUAAAGUGUAAUUAAUUAAUCUAAUGCUGGAAUUAUUAUUUACCCUGGAAUUUGGAUGACGUAUAAUUCCAAGUGGGCAUGCUGCAUUUCUUAGCCAAUGAAACUAUAAUUUCUUCAUAAUUUUUCAAGUUCCAACAAUAAAUGUAAUUUUCGAACUAUUAAAUAUAUUAAAAUCUUAAAUGAUAACUUGAAAAAUAAAAUCAUUCAUCAAUCAAUUUAAGAUUUCUACACUGUAAUUUGUUAAUAUUAGUUAAAAAAAAUAUAAAUUUUAUGUAAAUAAAAAUAAUUUAAUUAACUGGUGUGGUGAAUCUCACUUCAUAACGAAUUCAUAUAUCGGUCCAAUAAAUUAGGUCCAAUUUAAUUAACUUGUGUGGUGUAUAUAUAUAUAUAUAUAAAAAUAAUCAUCAAUAGUUUUGACAUUAGAAGUCAAUUCACCAACAACUUAAAAAUUCAACCUCUUUAAUAAAAAUACUUUUUAUAUUAAAAAAGUUGAAUUUUCCAUGAAUGAUUGGUGAGAGAAUUUUUAUUGAUUUCAUAUAAUAAUAAUAGUUUUUUUUGUAAAAAUGAUACCGAGAAAAAAUAAUCACAAGUAUACAAGACAAAAUUCAACCUCUCCACAUUGAUGUGUUAGGUUGGAAUCCUUAAACUGUUUUUGCCACAGUUCUUCGACUAGGUUUUAAGUUUAGAUUUUGACUUGUUAUAUAUUUUUUAAAUUGAUUUUUUUUAAAAAAAUCAUUAAUAUCUUUCCUUACGGUAAAUAAAAAAAACAUAAUUCAUUCUUCUAUUUAGAAGAUAUUUGGAAUCAUUUGCUGGAUCUAUUUUCUGUUUUUAUUUUCAGAUUUUAAAAUGACCCCUCGGAAAACAAUUCCAACCAAUUAUUUGCCAUGGAAUUUGGACGCUGUAUAAUUCCAAGUGGGCAUGCUGCAUUUCUUAGCCAGGUGUAGCAAGAAUUGAGGUAGCUUGUUUCUGGCUUUUGCUUCUCGGGGUAUGAUUUGUUGGGCUAGUUUAUAGGCCUUUUGCACUAGGGUUUUUGUCCUUUCUGCUAAUUUAUCUAAAUAUAGGCUUUAGAAUUUUUUUAGAGUGUAUUUGGUAUUGCGGUAGUUGUUGUGGUUGUUGUUUAAAAAAAAUUGUUUUAUAAAAAGUACUUUUAGUUGUGAUUGGUUUGAAAAAAUAGGUGUUUGGUUAAAACUGUGGUUGAAAUUGAGGUUGAAGAAAAAGUAGUUUAAUGUGUUUGGUUAAGAAUGUUUUUGAAAUUGAGGUUAUAAAAUAAUUUAAAAAAAUAUAAAUUAAUAUUGAUGGUUUUUAAUUUAAAUAUUGUGGAUUUAACUAUUGCGGUAACAUUAUGAAAUAAAUCAUACUUUAUAUAUAAAAAAAUUUAUUGUUCUAUUAAACUAUCUACAAUUCCAUUACGUACAAAAUUUAUCUGACAAGAAAUACAGUUUCCAUAAUUUUUUAGCGUGUAAUAAAAUUAGAUAAAAUAUUAUCAUGUAUAAAAUUCACUCUAAAUUAGUUUUUUUAAAAAAAAUUAACAAAAAAAAAAACUUAACACACUAAAAAAAAUAAAAUAAUAAUAAUAAUAUUCACGCAGUGCAAGUGAACAGUGCAAGAAAAGUGCACUGUUCACUAUUUUUAACAUGAACAGUGCACUUUUCGUGCACUGUUCAUGAACAGUGCAUCAUUUUGCGCUGUUUAUGUUAAUUGCAUUGUUCAUUGAACAGUGCAAUUACGUGAACAGUGCAAAAAAAGCAUGUAAUUCUUGCUUUGCAAAUACUGCGUUUCCAACGCAGAAAACAGGUGGGACCCAGUGAACAGUAAACUGCUUUUUUUAGUAACCAAACGGCUACAACUGUGUUUUAAAAAAAACACAGCCGCAGAGCCGAACGGGCUCUUAAUGAAACUAGCGUUCUUGAUUUCUUGGCGGUAGAAAUAACAGGACUAUUAUUAAAUUAAAAUUAAAAUUAAAAAAAAGUCAGCUCAGACUUUUACCAUGUACCAAUAGAGAAAACACGGCGUCUCUCUGUUUUUUUUUUAAGCAUUUUUGCUUUUAAUUUCAUUAUAAUAAUUUAUUUCAAUAAGCUUAUUAUGCUUAUUAUGAAGCUCUCACAGACAAGUCAAGGCCCAGAGUCGUGAAAUUCACUUUGAACCAGCCUGCACGCACUUAAAAUAGUAAUGUUGGGGAGAUGAUUUUUAAAAUUUUGAUCCCUAGAGUUUUUGCAUCUUUUAUUUUUAAUUUUAAUUUUGAUUUAAAAUUUCAUAUUAUUCAUUUUCAUGUUGUUCGUUUUUUGGUUCAAGAUGAAAGAAAGAAAGCAACAAAAAAAACUUUGAAAAAGAUAAAAAAUUAUUGGUCGACAACUUUCCGGCAACAAAAACACGUACAGUAUCUUCGUAUCAAUGGAAAACCGGUGUGCAGAUUGGAUAGCAAAUCAAGCUUCACAGUAGAUGUUGAAGUUUUCUACUGCACUGAAGCUCCCUAUGGUUGUUUGAAGCUAAAGCUUGAUGGCGUUCCUGGGGUUUUGAUGAGUGCACGAUAUUGCAUUCUAAAUGUUCUAUCAUUGGAAUAAAAUGCAAAAAUGUGAAUAAAAAUAAUUGAAAUUAAAGGGUAAGUCAAGGUCCAGAGUCGUGAAAUUCACUUUGAACCAUCCUGGACGCACUUAAAGUAGUAAAGUUUUUUUUUCUUGGAAACAGCCUGAAUGCACUUUUAAGUACUUUAAUCACAACUUUCCACUCACAUGUCGGAUUGCUGUGAUUCUUGACGCGUUGAAAAGGUUUCUUGAAGGGCUACAAAUUAGUCUCUGAUGAGGAUUUCAAAAAAAGAAGAACUAAAGCAUGUACGUCGCUGCCACAGAAGUCCUAAAAUCUAGGUUUUGAUGAAAACGUGUGGACCAUGGAGACGUGAUGAAAAGUGGGGCUGCCUCCUUUAGAAAAAGAAAUCUAGGUUAACUUGAUUAUGUCGUGAACAGGAUAUUAAACCGAAAUAACUCUAUAAAAUAAUAAACAAAAUCAUGAAACUCACCUCAUAUCCUAAUAUUAAAAAAUAUUGAAAAAAUAUAAUUUUUUAAAUGAAAAAAAAACUAAAAGUAAAUCAAACUAAUUUUUGAAACAUGUGACUCGGGUUUCACCUUCUGCUAUCUGCCUAGCAGUGAUAUAAAACGAUUUGAGUCCAUAUUGGAAGGAAUAGCAUCCACGAGGAAGUCCAAAUUAAUUAAAUGCGUAGGCCUCCUCUUUCUUCAAUCUUCUGCUGCUGUGAUUAUUAAAGCCUUGCCAAUAAUUACAGAUCAUAGCAUCCACGAGGAUGACGUUCAUUAAAUUUUUCUCUACAGUCAAUCUUUUUCCUUGACAAGCACAGGCAGGCAAUAUUAGUGGUAAAAUUUGGGAUGUUAAUUCCUUGACAAGCACAGGCAAUAUUGUUGAUUCAACUUUCCAAAAUGUAAUCUUUAGCCACCACAAAGCUUCACACACACACACACACACACACGAGUGUGAAAGUUUAUACACUUCAAAGUAAAGUUAAAGACAAGAGCAUAUAUAAUUGUUAAACCCCGUAUGAUUUGUUUCUGGCUUGUGCUUCUCUGGGAAUGAUUUGGUGGGCUAGUUUAUAGCUCUUUUGCACUAGGGUUUUUGUCCUUUCUACUAAUUUAUCUAAAUACAGGAUUUAUAAUCUUGAUGAAUGAAACUAGCAUUCUCGAUUUCUAGGUGGUAGAAAUAAUAGGACUAUUAUUAAAAUAAAAAUAAAUAAAUAAAUAAAUAAAUAUGCUCAGACUUUUACCAUGUACCAAUAGAGAAAACACCGCGUUUCUCUGUUUUUUUUUAAAAAAUUAUUUUUAUUUUAAAUUUUAUCAUAAUAGUUUAUUUCAAUAAGCUUAUUAUGCUUAUUAUGAAGCUAUUAAGAAAAAACAUUUCAAUGUAGAGUUGAAGCUCUCACAGACAAGUCAAGGCCCAGGAGUCGUGAAAUUCACUUUGAACCAGCCUGGACGCACUUAAAAUAGUAAUUUUUUUCUAUUUUUUUAAUUUGUCUCCGUGGAGACUCGAUACCCCAAAGUCGGGCUACAAUCACCACAAAAAUCUUUGUAUUUUUAACUGACAAAAAGUCACUGAAAAACUCGGAAAAAUAUGGAAAAUUAUUGGUUGAUAAUUUUUGGCAAAAAAAAAAAAAAAACUAUCAUCUUUGUGCUAAUGAAAAACUGGCGUGCAGAUUGGAAAGCAAAUCAUACUUUAUAGAUCGAGGGCUAAAAUAUACAUUUGUAGAAGGGAGUUGGGAAGAAAAUAAAUUUUCAUGGGUAUGGAAAAGUUCGAUGACGAGAUGUUUUGAAAGAGAGGGGUAUGACGUUCAUUGUACAUUGACUGAUGUAUCUUUUUAAAUUUUGUUUUUAGUAUUUUUAGAUUAUUUUAAUAUAAUAAUAUUAAAAAUAAAUUUUACAAAAUAAAAAAAUUACCAAACACACCUGCAAGCGAAUAUUGGUUGACUCAAAACCUUUAAUUUGUCUUUUAAUUUCUUUGUAUCCCAAUUAGUAAUUGCUACGUAAUUAGAUUUGGAGCCUCACUAUCAUUUGCACACUUAAUCUAGCCUUGUCAGAGCUGAUUUAUCUUUACAGUUGUUUUUUAAAAAUAAUUUUUUAAUAUUUUUAGAUUAUUUUGAUGUGUUGAUAAAAAAUAAAUUAUUUUAAAAAAUUAUUUUAAUAUAUUUUUAAAUAAAAAAUAUUUUUUAAAAAAAUUCACAGCAUGCAGAAAUAUGCUAUUCUUUUUAGAAAAUUUCAUGUGUUUACAUUUUCUUGGCAGCUUCUUCGAAACUUCAACAUUGGAGCGCGUCCACGCGUUAAUUAAUUAUUAUUGAGGCGACCUUACUAAUAAAUAAUAGUAUGUAAAUUCUCUUCCACAUCUCAUCCCACAAUAGAAUUCCCUAUUUUCCUUUCCCAUCUCAUGAUCAGUGCGAACUAGAUUUAUGUAUACUGCAAGUACUUUAUUAUUUUUCUAAGCCAUAUAUUCUUCUCUGAUCUGUGAUUUCUCUCUCUGUUUUUUUUUUGGCUGAAUACUGCUCAAGCGAACCAGCACUUGAAUCCAGGUAAAUGAUUUUGUCAAUUUGAGUUAAGCAGCCAUGAUUGUUUUUGUUCACCCGUCAAAAAAAUCAGCUCUUCUACCUUCCUUCCCCUGCUUUCUUCAACAGCUAUCCUCUUCUGCAUCUUUCUAUCUAUCAUUCUAGAGUUUUAGGAUAGAAUUUGAGUAUGAUAAUUUAGCUUUAAAUACAAAGGGUUAAAUCAUUAACAACAACAUUUAUAUUUCCUAUUUUUCAUCCGAAUUUCUUUAACAAACAAGAAAGUCAUAUAUAUGUUCUUUUCUGAUCUGUGCUUUCUGUUCUUUUUAAACCUCUGUACGUACUAAUCAUCUUCUACUUGUGGUCAGAUGGAAGGGUUCCUACCAUCUUCUAUGGAGGAUGAUGUCAACUUUACAUCGAAUCAGUUCGAUCUUCAAUCACUACUGUCGGAGCUUGAGCUUCUCUCGUACGUCAUUUUUAAGCAUAUUUUAUCAGAAGAUGAUUGCUUGCAAUUUAGUUAUUCUUCAGUUUAUCGUUUUAUUCCCAAAAAACAAUAUAAUGUCGUCACUGACUGUGGAAGCAGGCCGCCACCGGAGGUUCCAGUCAACCAAAGCUUCAUGUUAUGCAAUGAUCAUGUUGGACAGAACAUGGUGGUGGAUAACAAUGUGAUCAACGAUAGUAUUCAACAAACAACUGUGUUUCCACCUUCAUUUCCUCAAACCAUGGUGAGUGCUCAUGCCUACUCCAAUUUGCUACAAUGUCCAUUGAAUUGGCAAGUGUUUGUAUUAUACAAAAAGAUUUAUCUAAUUGUUUAUUGUUUAACAAACAGACAACAAUGGGAGGUUUGAAUGGAACAUCAUCAUCAUGGAUCAACCAAAAUGAACCAAAUUGGCCUCAAACUGAACCAAAUCAGCCGGGACAUGACUAUAUGACACCGAACGCAACCACUUCACAACAUGGUGGCUUCAUUCAACCUGAACCUUCUUUUCCUCCUCUCCGGUAUCCAAUUUUUCAUAUUUAGUAUUUUCUGUUAAAAAAAAAUUAGUUUUUCAAUUAGGAAAGCAACAUCAUAGCUUGGACAUGAACCCAGCAAGAUAAUCAUAAGUUUGUAAUGCUUCAUAUUGCUUGCGAAUGAUUUUGGAUUCAGGAGUCCAUUUCUUUCUAAUCAAGGACAAGACGAUCAAGCUGCUGUAAUUCCUAACAUAGACAAUAUGCAACAAGAGAACAUCGUGCCUCGGCACUUUGGCAACUCUACUAGGUACUGAUUGACCUCUAGCUGUUGUGUUUUAACACACUACGUAUUAAUACCCUUUUGAUAAUUAGAUACCACCAAUUAUCGAAAGGUUUUAUAAUAUGAUCACAUCAUUUAUAUAUAGGUCACAGAUGGAUAAUCUCCAAGUCCGAGGAUUGCAAAAUCAAACUGCUAGGCCAAAUGCCUCAAAUCCUGGCCUUGGCACUUCCCUGCAAAGUCAAAAUAGGGGUUUAAAUACUCAACAAGUAAGAAGUAUAACUGAAUUAUUGUCGUCUUUUUUUCCCCUUUGACUGUGCUAUAAACUAACUAUCAAUUUUAAUAGCAAAAUAAGGGUAACUUGAUCCGUUAAUUUUUAUUCCAUAUUUUGACCGAUUUUUAUUCUAUAUUUGACUUUUUUUUUUCUUUUUCUUCUAUAGGUCAAAAUGGUUGGAUCAAAUCUGUUAUUGUUUCAAUAUUUUUUUUUAAAAAAAUUAUUGUCUAGAAAUUUUUUUAAAAGCUAAGCCAUGUUUUACUAGUUUUCUAAGUUGUAUUUGGAUAUUGAUCGAUUUAAAUUGAGUUAAUUUCCAUAUAAUUUAAUUAAAAAUUUAAAUUAAAUAAAAAGUUAGGUUAGAAGAUUUUAAUAUUAACUCCCCUGACCAGGUUUAAUAAUAUUGCCAACAAACUUUCUUCACUCUUAACAUUUUAUUUUUAUAUUUUAAAAAAAUUAAUCCCCUAGAAAAACUAGGACAUAUUAUUGAGUGUAGGUUUUGUUUAUUAAAAGUAAGGAGUCUUUGACUGCAUGUAAUGGCAUCGACUGAAAACCUUUAAUCACAUGCUAUUAAUCACAUAUUUAAUCUGUUAUUGUUAGAGCACAUGCUUUUCAAAAACUUUGAAUUAUUUUCCAUUUAAAUUAUUAUUUUUUUAUUAAAAAUAAAUUUUAAAAAAUAAAAAAAUUAUUAUUUUAAUUAUUUUAAAUAAAAAAUAUUUUAAAAAGCAAAGUAUAUUAUUGUUUCUCAUAUUCAUGUAUUUACAUUUUCUAGGCAUCUUCUAAGCAUCAUAAUUGGGUAGGUAAAGUAGUGUUUUUAACUCCUUUUCUUUUCCAAUUAAUGGGACUGCCAUUCAUUAAUGGGACAUAUUUAAUCUUUCAUGUAUUUACCUCAGUAAUCCACUCAUAUAUAUAUAUAUAUAUAUAUAUAAUUUGCUAUGUGCUUUCUGUUCUUUUUUCACCUCAGUAUGUACUAAUCAUCUUGUACUUGUGGUUAGAUGGAAGGGUUCCCACCAUCUUCUAUGGAUGACUUGACAGAGUUCGAUCUUGAAUUACUAUUUCUCUCGUACGUCAUUCUUAAACAUAUUUUAUCAGAAGAUGAUUGCUUGCAAUUUAGUUACUUCAGUUUAUCCUAUUAUUGACAAAAACUAAUAAUGUCACUGUCCAUGGAAGCAGGCUGCCACCGGAGGUUCCAGACAUCCAAAGCUCCAUAUUAUGCAAUGAUCAAGAUGGACAGAACAAUGUGACCAUGGUGAGUACUAAUUCUUACUCCAAUUUGCUGCAAUGUCCAUUGAAUUAGCAAGUGUUUGUAUUAUACAAAAAGUUUUUAUGUUCUUAUCUCGAGCAUCUUCAAAUUGUUUAUUGUUAAACAAACAGACAACAAUGGGAGAUUUAGACAUUUUUUUAUGAUAUUUUUUUAUCAUUAAGUUUUAUAUAAAAUUGGCCUCAAACUCUAUCAAGGCAUCAUAAUUCCUUUAUUCAUCAACCUCAGACGGGACAUAUGACACAGAACGCACCCACAUCACAACAUGGUGAAUUCAAUCAACCUGGACCUUCUUUGCCCGCUCCCAGGUAUCCAAUUUUUCAUGUUUAGUAUUUUCUGGAAAAAAAAAUUUAGUUUUUCAAUCAUUAUGUAACUUCUUCUUCUUCUUCUUCCUCUUGUCGUUGUACUUAUCAGUGAAUUCAUUAUGUUUGAAUAUAGGUAUCAGCCUAAUCCUAAUUUAUUUGAUCCUCAAUGUGUCAAUCCCAUGCUGCCUGGACCAUCAAUGCCUUUGUGGUAAGCUAAAAUGAUAUCAAAUGCUUAGUGGAUUAAUAGCGAAGAAUUAUGCAUGUGUAUAAAGAAAUUACUAACAAAUGUUGCUAAUUUAGGGACCAACAAUUGACUAAUUAUCAGUUACCAAUGAGCAAUCGAGUGCCUACCUUAAACUUUUUUAAUCAAUGGUAUUAACCUCGAAUAUAUAUACACUUUUUUAUGUUUAGUAUUUUCUAUAAAAAAAAAAUUAGUUUUUCAAUCAGGAAAGAAACAUCAUAUCUUGAACAUGAACCCAACAAGCUAAACAUAUUGUUUGCAAAUGAUUUUGGAUUCAGGAGUCAAUAUUUUUCUAAUCAAGGACAAGUCGAUCAAGCUGCUGUAAUUCCUAACAUAGACAAUGUGCAACAAGAGAACUUCGUGCCUAGGUACUGAUUGACUUCUAGCUGUUGUGUUUUAACACCAUUAACUUUUACUGCUUAAGAGAGACUACCAAUUAUGGAAAGGUUUUAUAAUAUGAUCACUUCAUUUAUAUAUAGGUCACAGAUGGAUAACCUCCAAGUCCGAGGAUUGCAAAAUCAAACUGCUAGGCCAAAUGCCUCAAAUCCUGGCCUUGGCACUUCCCUGCAAAGUCAAAACUAGGGGUUUAAAUACUCAACAAGUAAGAAGUAUAACUGAAUUAUCGUCGUCUUUUUCCCUCCUAUGAUUGUGCAAUAAACUAACUAUCAAUUUUAAUAGCAAAAUAUGGGUAACAACACUGAAGUAGUAGUUUCUCAUCCAUCUGGAUAUGGUGUAACUUGCAUCAAUUUUUAUUCUUUAUUUUGACCUACCUUUUUUUUUAUAUAGGUCGAAAUGGUUAGAUCAAAGGAUCCAUUUUGGAAUUAUAUUGAAGAUAGGACUGAUGGUAGCAUGAAGUGUAAGUUUUGUCCACAUACAUUUGCCAAUAAAACCUCCAUUUCAAGGAUCAAAUGGCAUUUAUCAGGAGAGGAAGGGCAUAAUGUUGCCAUUUGUCAUGGGGUGCCUAAAGAAGUUCAAGAAGCAGCCUGGAAAGCUAUGUGUGGUGGCAACAAAAGACAUAAAAUCACAGCAGGUUCGAUCAAUGUUAAUGAUUGUGGAAUUUCAACAAUGGUAGGAGGAAUUGGAAGGGUACAAAGAGAAGUUCAGGUUGUAGAACCCGGAGUAGUGGAAGAGAGGAUUUCUUCACAUGCAAUAGCAGGAAACGACGUAGUAAGCAUGACCGGAAUGAGAGCACAAGAAGAUGGAGUUUCCGAAGGGGCACUCGAGAGCAGACUGAGGACAGAACCAGUGGAUCGAUCGUUGGAACAAAGCAAUGCAGUACUUGGCAAUAUGGCAGGGGGAGCUAGAAGGAUACAAGUGGGAGUUCAGGGCAUGGAACAAGAUCCAGGAGAAGAGAGAAUUCAGUCGCAUCUACAAGCGGAAAAUGGCAUGGAAAACACUGGUGAAGGAUCUUUUCAGCAUGAUGCAUUUGAGACUGUACCAAGAACAGAGAAAGUGCAGACUCUGGAGCCUCGAUGAGAUUCAUCCCAAUUUUGUCAUGGCAUUGGAAGAUGUUAUGAUCAACCUUGUGCUCCAUCAGGAAACAAUGAUGUAACUAGUCAUGAUGAGCAGCAUAUGGUUAGAGUGAGGACACAACCAGUGCAGAAAGAGGAGGAUGUGGAAAAUAGUGGAAGAUCAGUAGUGCAGGCUGGCGCAGGAGCUAGAUCUUCUGAAAGUCUGAAGUACAACAAGACUAGAGGAGUUCCAUUACCUACUAGCUCUACAAAGCCAGUGGGUCAAGCAUUUGAAGAGAAUACGAAGGUGAUAUGGUCUUUGUUAAUGGAUGAUGAAGUCUCAACCAUUGGUAUUUAUGGGAUGGGGGAGUUGGUAAAACAACAAUACUAAAACAUAUCCAUAAUGAGCUUCUACAAAGACUAGAUAUUUAUGAUCAUGUUUGGUGGGUGACUGUGUCUCAAGAUUUCAACAUUAAUAGAUUGCAGAAUCUUAUUGCUACACAACUUCAUCUAAACCUUUCGAGAGAAGAUGAUGAUCUGCAUAGAGCUGCCAAAUUGUUAGAAGAACUAAAGAAAAAACAAAAAUGGAUUUUUAUUUUAGAUGAUUUGUGGAACAAUUUUGAGCUUGAGGAAGUGGGAAUUCCUGAGAAGUUGAAAGGAUGCAAGUUGAUUAUGACAACUCGAUCAGAAAUGGUUUGUCAUCGGAUGGCUUGCCACCGCAAAAUCAAGGUGAAACCACUUUCUGAGGGAGAAGCUUGGACUUUGUUCAUGGAAAAACUUGGACGUGACAUAGCACUUUCACGAGAAGUGGAAGGAAUUGCGAAAGCUAUUGCAAGGGAAUGUGCUGGUUUGCCAUUGGGAAUUAUUACAGUGGCAAGAAGCUUGAGGGGAGUGGAUGACCUGCAUGAGUGGAGAAAUACAUUGAAGAAAUUGAGAGAAUCAGAAUUUAAGGACAAGGAAGUAUUCAAGUUAUUGAGGUUUAGUUAUGAUCGGUUAGGUGAUUUAGCACUACAACAAUGUCUCUUGUACUGUGCAUUAUUUCCCGAAGAUGAUAGGAUUAAGAGGGAGAGGUUGAUAGGUUAUUUGAUCGAUGAGGAGCAUGAAAGAUGCAUUUGACGAGGGCCACACGAUGCUUAAUAAACUUGAAAAUGUCUGCCUAUUGGAAAGUGCUCAAAUGAUGUCUACAGGUAGUAGAUAUGUCAAGAUGCAUGACUUGAUUAGAGACAUGGCCAUCCAUAUACUGGUAGAGAGCCCUCAAUACAUGGUUAAAGCAGGUGCACAAUUAAAAGAGUUGCCAGAUGCAGAGGAGUGGACGGAGAACCUGACGAUAGUUUCACUAAUGCAAAACAGAUUUGAAGGAAUUCCUUCCAGCCAUUCACCAAAAUGUCCAAAUCUGUCAACUGUAUUUCUAUGUGAUAAUGAAGGGUUGGGAUUUAUUGAGGAUUCAUUUUUCAAGCAAUUGCAUGGGCUCAAGGUCCUCGAUCUGUCCUGGACAGUUAUUAAAAAUUUGCCAGACUCUGUCUCUGAUUUGGUGAGUCUCACUGCGUUAUUGCUCAAUGAGUGUGACAAUUUAAAACAUGUUCCAUCAUUAAAGAAGCUCAGGGCACUGAAGAGGUUGGAUCUCUCUAGACUCUAGUACUGCACUUGAAAAUAUGCCGCAAGGAAUGGAAUGCCUAACCAACCUGAGGUAUCUUAGAAUGAAUGGAUGCGGUGAAAAGGAGUUUCCUAGCGGGAUAUUACCAAAACUCUCUCACCUGCAAGUCUUGGUACUAGAAGAGUUUCCUAGUGGGAUAACAGUUAAAGGAAAGGAAGUAGGAUCCUUGAGAAAUUUGGAAACUUUGGAGUGCCAUUUCGAAGGUUUAUCUGACUUUGUGGAGUAUCUCAGAUCUCGGGAUGGGAUUCAAUCAUUAAGCACAUAUAAAAUUUUAGUAGGAAUGGUGGAUUACUUGUAUUGGGAAAACAUUAAUGAUUUUCCAAGUAAAACAGUUGGGUUGUGUAAUUUGAGUAUCAACAGAGAUGGAGAUUUUCAGGUCAAGUUCUUAAAUGGUAUUCAAAGACUGAUUUGUGAACGCAUCGAUGCAAGAAGUUUAUGUGAUGUUUUGUCAUUAGAGAAUGCAACUGAACUGGAGGACAUCAACAUUCGGGAUUGCAAUAACAUGGAGAGCUUGGUUUCAUCUUCUUGGUUCUGCUAUGCUCCACCACCAUUGCCAUCAUAUAAUGGUAUGUUUUCUGGGCUUAAAGAGUUUUAUUGUGGUGGAUGUAAAAGUAUGAAGAAGCUGUUCCCACUUGUGCUGCUGCCAAACCUCGUAAACCUGGAAAGGAUUGAAGUGAGGUGCUGUGAGAAAAUGGAGGAGAUAAUAGGAACAACAGAUGAAGAAAGCCGCACCUCCAAUCCCAUCACGGAAUUCAUUCUCCCAAAGUUAAAAACUCUGAAAUUGUCUGUUUUACCAGAACUGAAAAGCAUUUGCAGUGCAAAACUGAUUUGCAAUUCUCUUAAAAAAAUUAGGGUAAGUUUUUGUAAGAAGCUGAAGAGGAUGCCAAUUUGUCUUCCGUUGCUUGAAAAUGGCCAGCCAUCUCCUCCCCCUUCUCUUAAAAAAAUCGAAGCAAGUCCAAAAGAAUGGUGGGAGACAGUAGUGGAGUGGGAGCAUCCUAAUGCAAAGGAUGUCCUUCGUCCCUUUGUAAAGUUUGGGUACUGGUAAUCCUUCCGUUGUAAGAAUACUAAUCGAUUGUAACCUUAAAUUUGCUCAUAUUCAAUAACAUUCAAUUCUUUCAAUCAUUUUUGUUAAAAAUCACGUGCAAAACAUAAUAUAUGUUUUUUCGAUAUGAAUGAUGAAAAUAGUCCUUUAAAACAACAAGGAUAUUCUUAUUAAUUAUAAUUUGAAGUUUGAUUAAUAUUAUAUUUUCAUCCUAUUGAGGUUCUCCAAGAUGAAAAUCCAAAAAAUAAAAAAAUACUAAAUUGAUUUAUCAUUAAAGUAACCUAAUAAAAUAAUAGAUGUUUUGAAAGAAAGGGGUAUGGCGUUCAUUGUACUCUAAACUCAUUGACUGAUGUACCUCUUAAAAAUUGUAUAUGUUACCAGAACUGAAAAGCAUUUGCAGUGUAAAACUGAUUUGCAAUUCUCUUGAAUAUAUUUGUGUAAUCGAUUGUGAUGAGCUGAAGAGGAUGCCAAUUUGUCUGCCGUUGAAUGAAAAUGGCCAGCCAUCUCCUUCCCCUUCUCUUAAAAAUAUCUAUUCAAGUCCAAAAGAAUGGUGGGAGUCAGUAGUGGAGUGGGAGCAUCCUAAUGCAAAGAAUGUCCUUCGUUCUUUUGUAAAGUAAUAUAAUACAGUGUGCUUACAAUUACAUAAAUAACAUUUUUCAUUUUUUUUUAUUUCAUUAAAGACUACUGAAUUGUCAUAUAUAUAUUUUAACUCGAUAGAUAAAUAAUUAUAAUUUGAAGUUUGAUUAAUAUUAUAUUUUCAUCCUAUUGAGUUUCUCCAAGAUGAAAAUCCAAAAAACAAUAAUAAAAAAAAUACUAUAUUGAUUUAUCAUUAAAGUAACCUAAUAAAAUAAUAAAUCUACACACAUUUUUAAAAUGUCUAAGAGAGAGUAUGAAUAUGGCAGUUUUGGUUUCUCAACCUGUAACUGCCAUAUUCAUAAACACAUUUUUUAAAUAACUGAAAUUCUAAGACCAAAUUUCGUACUAAAACUAGAAAGUAGCAUAGGUUAAUAAUUAUUAUCUUUUUUAUUUUUAAUUAUAAUCUAAAAUUUGUAGUGUGUGGUCCCGCACCAUGUGAUGGGGGGACCACCACAUUAAUCAAGAAGAGAGGCAGUUGGCUGCCUCUUUAAUUUAAAUGUGUCUGCCACUGUAGAAGGUAGACGAGAGAGAGAGGGAGAACAAAAUUAAAAGAGAGCAAAAACAGAAGAGAAAAACGUGAGAAAGAAAGAAGAGGAGGCAGCAGAGCAGUCUGUCUUCUUUCUUCGAUUUCCAGUUCGUUCACCGUUGGAUCGAGCUGAGAUUUGGACAGAAUCUUCUAGACAUGUUACUCUUCAUUUUGAACGGUUGGAUUGAAGAUUGGUGGUGUGGAAGCUGGUUGUUUUGACAGAAAACGGGGCUGUCAGUGUUGUGAGCUUUUCUCUAACAUUGCUCUCUUUAAUCUUGUUGUAAUCCCAGAAUAUGUUGUUCUUGAUGAUAUAUAUGUUGUAGCCCUUAGUUAAUCUGAGGAAGAACUAUUGUGAACCCAUUAUUUGUGAUAGUGGAAGUUUUUAGGUGGACUCCGAUCCCGUGGUUUUUCCCGCAUCGGGUUUUCCACGUAAAAAUCUUGGUGUUGAUGUGUGUGAUUGUUGCAUUAUAUUUGUUCAUUGUUUGAUUCUGUUUUUUACUGCACAAAGAGGGAAAAAGGAUUGGGACUUGUUAAUUGUGAAUUGUAUUCCGCUGAAUUGAUCCGGUUAUUUGUCCCUAGUUUUCCCAACAGAGUGGUAUCAGAGCAUUUGGUUGUGUAGAUUGAAUUCUUAUGCAGUUAAAAUGGAAAAGGAAGAUUCGGGUAUGAAAAAGCUCACUUCCUCAAAUUAUUUUCUAUGGAAAACAAUGAUGGAGGAUCACUUAUAUUGCAAUGAUUUGGCUUUGCCAAUUGAAUGUAAAGGAAUAAAGCCUGAUGAUAUGGAUGAUGCAAAAUGGAAUGGACUUAAUAGAAAGGCUACCGCUAAUGUUAGAAAAUUGGUAUCUUCUAAGUCCAUUAAUCAUAUUUCUCAAGAACAUGACUGCUAUACAGUGUGGAAGAUGUUGGAAGAAACAUUUGCCAAGGAGAGUGCACAAAACAAGGUUUUUGUAAUUAAAGACCUUGUGAAUUUGAAGUAUAGAGAUAGUGAAGAUGCUUCAGUGCAUAUAAAUGUAUUCCAAGGGUUCUUGAAUCAGCUGUCAUUGAUGAACCUUGAGUUAGCCGAUGAAAUGCAAGCAUUAAUCCUAUUGAGUUCAUUGCCGGAUAGUUGGGAGACUUUGGUAGUGUCACUUAGCAAUUCUACUCCGAAUGGAAAGCUCACUUUGAAAACAGUGAAGGAUUGUAUCCUCAAUGAAGAGAAGAGGAGGAAAGGGACAAGCACUUCCGAGUCUCAUGCACUUGUUACAGAAAGUCGAGGGAGAAGUCAAAGCAGGUUCUCUCACGGCAAGCAAGAUGGAGAAUCUAGCAAUAGAAAAGGCAAAUGAAAGCCAAGAGGAAGAUCUCAGUCAAGGAAGGGUUUUAAGUGUUAUUAUUAUGACAAGCCUGGGCAUGUGCAAAAGGAUUGCAGAAAGUAUAAAAGAGAUAAAAAGGGUAGAGAUGAAGACAAGAAUGAAGAGAAUGGUACAGCUGCAGUUGUAUCUGAUGGUGAUGUUGCCAUUGUGUGUGAUGAUGGUUGUGUUAAUCUUGCAUGUCAAGAUACCACCUGGGUUGCAGAUUCAGCAGCUUCUUACCAUAUUACACCCCGACAUGAUUUUUACACAUCCUACACUGCUGGUGACUUUGGUCAAGUUAGGAUGGGAAAUCAAGGGAUGGCUAGUGUUGUGGGCAUUGGAGAUAUUUGGUUGGAAACCAAUACUGGGUGCAAGUUGCUACUCAAAGAUGUUAGGCAUGUGCCUGAUAUGCGCCUACAUUUGAUCUCUACUGGUACUCUUGAUGAAGAAGGCUAUCAUAGUUACUUUGGAGAUGGUAAAUGGAAGCUCUCCAGAAAUUCCCUAAUUGUUGCUAAAGGGAAGAAGAUGGGUCUUUACAUGUCACAAGCCAAGGUGAUCAAAGGGGAGGUGAAUGCAAUUGAAGAUUGCUCUACUGAUCUAUGACAUAAGCGAUUUGGACAUUUGAGUGAGAAAGGUCUUGGCAUCCUUGCCAGGAAGAACUACCUUCCUUUAAAAGGUAUGAACCUGAACACAUGUACUCAUUGUUUAGUUGGUAAACAACAUAGAGUUGCAUUUCAAAGAUCACCUUCACAUAGAAGGUCACAUGUUCUUGAUUUAGUUCAUACUGAUGUUUGCUCUAUGAUUGAUAAGUCUCUUAGAGGUGCAUUGUACUUUGUUAAUUUUAUUGAUGAUCACUCCAGGAAGAUUUGGGCCAUUUAUUUGAAAUCCAAAGAUCAAGUGCUUGAUGUCUUUAAGGAUUUCCAUGCCAGAGUUGAAAGAGAAACUGGUAGAAAGCUGAAAUGUGUUCGAGCAGACAAUGGUGGUGAAUACAGGGGUCCUUUUGAAAAGUACUGCAGGGAACAUGGUAUCAAGUUGGAGAAGACAGUUCCUAAGACUCCACGGCAGAAUGGAGUUGGUGAGAGAAUGAACAGAACCAUUGUUGAAAGAAUUAGAUGUAUGCUCUCUCAUGCAAAGUUGCCUAAGUCCUUUUAGGGUGAGGCAAUGAAGACUGCAGUUGCCAUGAUCAAUCUUUCUCCAUCAGUUCCUCUUGAGUUUGAUGUUCCAGAUAGAGUGUGGAAAGGAAAGGAUGUUUCCUAUGCACACUUGAGAGUGUUUGGAUGCAGAGCAUUUGUACAUGUUCCAAGGGAUGAAAGGUCCAAGCUUGACAGCAAGACAAAGCAGUGUAUUUUCUUGGGAUCUGAAGAUGAUGAGUUUGGCUAUAGGUUGUGGGAUCCAAAGGAGAAGAAAAUUGUGAGAAGCAGAGAUGUUAUCUUCUUUGAAGAUCAAACCAUUGAAGACUUUGAACUGAAGGAGAAAACAGAGUCUACAACUUUUAUUCCAUCUAAUUCAAAUCCAAGAUCUACUCCACAGUUACCUUUGAUGCCUGCUAAUCAUGGGGGAGAUUUGCAAAAUGAUGAUAAUGGUGGUUUUCUUAUUGAGCCAUUAGUUGGUGAUCAUGAAUCAACUAAUGAUGAUAUUGAUGUUAUUCCUGAACAGGUUAUGCAGGAAGCUCUAGAUGAGCCACAAUUGAGGAGGUCAACCAGACCUCGCCAACCUUCCACCAAAUAUUCUCCUCAUGAGUAUGUGCUAGUUACUGAUGGGGGAGAGCCAGAAUGCUUUGAUGAAGCCAUGUCACAUGAGAAGAAAAGUGAGUGGUUGCAAGCAAUGCAAGAAGAGAUGAAAUCCUUGCAUGAAAACCAUACCUUUGAGUUAGUGAAGCUUCCUAAAGGUAAGAGAGCACUCAAGAACAAAUGGGUGUUCAGGUUGAAAAUUGAUGAACAUUGCUCACAACCAAGUACAAGGCAAGAUUGGUUGUGAAAGGUUUCGGUCAGAAGAAGGGUAUUGAUUUUGAAAAAAUCUUUUCACCAGUGGUCAAGAUGUCUUCAAUCCGAGUUGUGUUUGGCUUAGCUGCUAGUUUGAAUCUUGAAGUUGAGCAACUUGAUUGAAAACUGCCUUUCUCCAUGGUGAUUUAGAUGAGGAAAUCUACAUGGAGCAACCUGAAGGGUUUGAAGCAAAAGGUAAAGAGCAGUUAGUUUGCAAGUUGAAAAAGAGCCUAUAUGGGUUAAAGCAAGCUCCAAGACAAUGGUAUAAGAAGUUUGAUUCUUUCAUGGUGGAUCAUGGUUAUGACAGGACUACUUCUGAUCAUUGUGUAUUUAUGAAAAGGUUUCCAGAUGGAAACUUUAUUAUUCUCCUAUUGUAUGUGGAUGAUAUGUUGAUUGUUGGCCAUAAUGCUAAGAAGAUUCAGAUGUUGAAGGAAGAGUUAAGCAAGUCUUUUGCAAUGAAAGACUUAGGACCGGCAAAACAGAUUCUUGGCAUGAAGAUCACACGUGACAGGAAGAAGGAGAAACUUUGGCUAUCUCAGGAGAGAUAUGUCCAAAAGGUACUUGAGAGAUUCAACAUGAGCAACUCCAAACCGGUUUGUUCUCCAUUUGCAAGCCACUUUAAACUAAGUUCUAAGCAGUGUCCUUCAAGUGAUGAAGAAAGAGAUGAGAUGAAAAAGGUUCCUUAUGCAUCCGCAGUUGGUAGCUUGAUGUAUGCUAUGGUUUGCACAAGGCCGAAUAUAGCUCAUGCAGUUGGUGUGGUUAGUCGGUUCCUCUCCAAUCCUGGUAAAGAACACUGGUCAGCAGUGAAAUGGAUACUCAGGUAUCUCAAAGGUACUUCUAGUUUCAGCUUAUGUUUUGGUAAUGAUAAACCUGUGUUGGAUGGAUACACAGAUGCAGAUAUGGUUGGUGAUGUUGAUUCUAGAAAGUCCACAUCAGGAUACUUGAUGAAGUUUGCAGGGGGAGCUGUCUCAUGGCAAUCAAGGUUGCAAAAAUGUGUUGCAUUAUCCACUACAGAGGCUGAAUAUAUUGCUCUUACUGAAGGGGGCAAAGAGUUGUUAUGGAUGAAGAAGUUCCUACAUGAACUUGGCCUAGUUCAAGAGAACUUUGUGUUGCACUGUGAUAGUCAAAGUGCAAUCCAUCUCAGUAAGCAUCCUACUUUUCACUCUCGAUCAAAGCACAUAGAGGUUAGAUAUCAAUGGAUUCGUGAUGCUAUGGAGAUGAAGUCAUUUGUUGUUGAGAAGAUCCAUACCGAUAACAACGUGUCAGAUAUGAUGACCAAACCUCUACCAAGAGAGAAGUUUGAGUUUUGCAGAAGGGAGGCAGGCUUGUCAGAGCCUCCUAAAUUGAAGCUUACAUGUUGAUCGCCAGUAUGGCGAAUUCCUCACAUGGUGCGUGAGGGGGAGAUUUGUUGUGUGUGGUCCCGCACCAUGUGAUGGGGGGACCACCACAUUAAUCAAGAAGAGAGGCAGCUGGCUGCCUCUUUAAUUUAAAUGUGUCUGCCACUGUAGAAGGUAGACGAGAGAGAGAGGGAGAACAGAAUUAAAAGAGAGCAAAAACAGAAGAGAAAAACGUGAGAAAGAAAGAAGAGGAGGCAGCAGAGCAGUCUGUCUUCUUUCUUCGAUUUCCAGUUCGUUCACCGUUGGAUCGGGCUAAGAUUUGGACAGAAGCUUCUAGACACGUUAAUCUUCAUUUUGAACGGUUGGAUUGAAGAUUGGUGGUGUGGAAGCUGGUCGUUUUGACAGAAAACGGGGCUGUCAGUGUUGUGAGCUUUUCUCUAACAUUACUCUCUUUAAUCUUGUUGUAAUCCGAGAAUAAGUUGUUCUUGAUGAUAUAUAUGUUGUAGCCCUUAGUUGAAUAUGAGGAAUAACUAUUGCGAACCCAUUAUUUGUGAUAGUGGAAGUUUUUAGGUGGACUCCGGUCCCGUGGUUUUUCCCGCAUCGGGUUUUCCACGUAAAAAUCUUGGUGUUGAUGUGUGUGAUUGUUGCAUUAUAUUUGUUCAUUGUUUGAUUCUGUUUUUUACUGCACAAAGAGGGAAAAAUGAUUGGGACUUGUGAAUUGUGAAUUGUAUUUCGCUGAAUUGAUCCGGUUAUUUGUCCCUAGUUUUCCCAACAAAAUUUUAUUAUGUUUACCUUUUGGUCACGAGUUUAAGAUGAAAGCACACAAAAAAGGAACUGCUAAAGCCUAAAUUUUAGGCAAUUUGUUUUUGACACAACAGGGAUCAUGGAGACGUGAUGAAAUAUAAUUUUAAAAUUUAAAAUAUUUUUAAUUAGUUAAGAUUAAAUAAGUUUUUAAAUUAAAACAAUUUAAUUUCAAUAAAAUAUCAAAAUAUUAUGAAAUUAAAAUGUUUUAACACUAAUAUUUUAAAUAUAAAGUUAGGUCAAUGUUAUCAAGGCUAAUGAGAUCUAAAAUAUUCAUUUUUUUUGCUUAAAUUCCUACAAAGUAUAAACUUGAAAAAAACAACAUGAAUAUAAACCAUAUAUAUUAGUGAUAAAUCUAAUUUUAAAAAAUUAAUAUCAUAGUUAAUGAAAAUAGUAAUGAAAAAGAGCUUUUUAUACUUUGAUGUUUUAAUUAUUAAUUGAACCAGGUUCAAUUUGAUUUAAUGGCUUUUUAAGACCAGAACAGAACAUGUGGAAUGAAACCGGAACAUUCCAAACGGAAUUUAGCCAAAAAAUCCGGAAAGGACCGAAAUUUGAAAUGAGAUGAAAAUUAUUUCGUUUUAUUCUAUUUUUUGAAUUAGUAUAAAAUCAUUACAAAUAAAACGAAACGAAAUUAACAACUUUUAUUUUAAUAUAUUUAUAAAUCCCCUAAAAAACUUUCUUCACUCUUGACAUUUUAUUUUUAUAUUUUAAAAAAAUUAAUCCCCUAAAAAAACUAGGACAUAUUAUUGAGUGAGGUUUUGUUUAUUAAAAGCAAGGAUGGAGUCUUUGACUGCAUGUAACGGCAUCGGCUGAAAACCUUUAAUUUGUCUUCUAAUUUUUUCUCUAUUGUUACAUAAUCAGAUUCGCUUCAUCUUAAAUAAUUAUUUUUUUAAUUUUAGAUUAAAUUUAAAAUUGUGAUAUAUAAUAUUUUUUAAAAAAGUAUUUUUUAUUUAAAAAUAUAUUAAAAUAAUAUUUUUUAAGAUUUUUUUUAUUUUUAAUAUCAACACAUCAAAAUCAUAGAAAAAUAAAAAAAAAUUCAUUUAUCUUUUUUAAAAAACAACUAAAAACAAAAACAAUCACAUGCUAUUAAUCACAUAUUUAAUCUGUUGUUGUUAGAGCACAUGCUUUUCAAAAACUUUGAAUUAUUUUCCUUUUAAAUUAUUAUUAUUUUUAUUAAAAAUAAAUUUUAAAAAAUAAAAAAAUUAUUAUUUUAAUUAUUUUAAAUAAAAAAUAUUUUAAAAAGCAAGUAUAUUAUUGUUUCUCGUAUUCAUGUGUUUACAUUUUCUAGGCAUCUUCACGCGUUAACUUCCUAUAUCUUAUAAUAUAAUAUUUGGCAGGUUAAGUAGUGGGUUGCUUGCUAGCAACUUCCUUCCUAUCAAACAAAACAAUAAUUUGUUUAUACUGCUACUUUAUUAUUUUUCUAAAUCAUAUAAUCUUCUCUGAUCUGUGAUUUCUCUUCUCUUUAAAUCCUCAGGACGUACUCAUCAUCUUCUACCUCUUUUCCUUUCCACAUCUAACCAGUGCGAACUAGAUUAUAUUUAUGUGAUUUCUCUUCUGUUUUUUUUUUUUUGGCUGAAUACUGCUCAAUCAAACCAGCGCUCGAAGAACAUCUUGAAUCCAGGUUAAUUAUUUGUACUUCAUCUUCUUCAUCUUGUUGGUGUUUUUGUUUGUAUAUAUGUAACUAUGGUUUGAAUCUUUAAAGGAAUCCAUGAUAAAUAAAUUGAUCUUUUUCUCGGAUUUUAUAAUCCAUGCCUAGUGGAGAGUUCAUACUAAAUUAAUACUGAAUUCAUUGUUUUCGUCUUUUCAAAAUUCUUAGCCGUUUUUAACUCCUUAUUUUAGAUUCACCCUUUUCUUUUCCAAUUAAUGGGACUGCCAUUCAUCAAUAUUUUUCAACUUUCUAUUUUCUUACAAUGAUUCAAUGAAUUAACUUGAUCAAUAAUUACCUGAAUCUUUUUGAACAAAACAAUAUCCUAUUAUUAUUUUUGUGUGUGUUUUAUGAUGCGUAACUAAGGGUUAAAAUAAUCUUGCAAUAUAAAUAGGAGUUGAAAGAGGUUUGUUCACCCCGUCAAAACAAUCAGCUCUUCUACCUUCAACAGUUAUCCUGCAUCUUUCUAUCUAUCAUAAAAAGAAUUUGAUUAUGAUAAUUUAUCUUAAAAGACAAAGGAUUAAAUCAUUAACAACAACAUUUAUAUUUCAUAUUUUUCAUCCGAAUUUCUUUAACAAACAAGAAAGUCAUUCAUAUAUAUAUAUAUAUAUAUAUAUAUAUAUAGAUAGAUAGAUAGAUAGAUAGAUAUUCUUUUCUGAUCUGUGCUUUAUGUUCUUUUUAGACCUCAGUUUUUUAUGUCUUUUCUGAUCUUUUCUGGUCAGAUGGAAGGGUUCCAACCAUCUUUUAUGGAGGAGGUUGACAACAUGACAUGGGAUCAGCUGGGUUUUCAAUCAGAAGAAGAUACAUUCAAUAUGUCUGAGCUUCUCUCGUACGUCAUUCUUGAGCAUAUUUUAUCAGAAGAUGAUUGCUUGCAAUUUAGUUAUUCUUCAGUUUAUCCUAUCAUUCCCAAAAAAACAAUAUAAUGUCGUCACUGUCCAUGGAAGCAGGCUGCCACCGGAGGUUCCAGUCAACCAAAGCUCCAUAUCAUGCAAUGAUCAAGGUGGACAGAAGAAUGUGAUCAACGAUAGUAUUCAACAAACAACUCCGUUUCCAACUUCAUUUCCUGAAACAGUGGUGAGUACUCCAAUUUGCUACAAUGCCCAUUGAAUUAGCAAGUGUUUGUAUUAUACAAAAAGUGUUUGCAUUUUUGUUUUUAAUUUCAUUUGAUAAUUUAUUUCAAUAAACUUGUUAUGGAGCUCUUGUGGUCUAAGAAGAAGAAACAAUUCAAUGUAGAGUUGAUGUUUGACUUAACAAGAUUUUGUUCAAUUUAAUUGAUUAAAAAUAAGUGAAAUUUUGACCGUCAAAUUUGAUAUUAAAAUUUUGAAGAUAAAUAUUGAAGACUGAAUUUGAUAUUAAAACUAAAAAUAAGUAGAAAGUUUUUACAAAGGUAAAUGUUAUGAAAAGAUCGAAAUUGCUAUCCAACUGGUGUGCAGAUUGGAUAGCAAAUCAAGCUAUGUUGAAGUUUUCUACUGCAGUGAAGCUCCCUCUGGUUGCUUGAAGCUAAUGCCUGAUUGUUGCGUUCCUGGGAUUUUGAUAAGUGUAUGAAAGUCUAUUUUAUCAUUAAUUUGUUUUUAUGUUUUAAAAAUAUUUUAAAAAAAUUAAUUUUUUAUUUUAAAUUUAUUCUAACUCUUUUGUUUUAUCAUUCUCAAAGUCCAAACAACAACGGUACUGUCAAGAUUGUUAUGUUUAUGCCCGCAAUCGAAACAUAAUUUGUUUUUGUACUCAGAGUUAUGCUUAUUAAAAAAUCUGGUUAUUUUAAAAAAUAUAUUAAAUUAAUAUUUUUUAAUAUAUUAAUAUUAAAAAUAAAAGAAAAAUAUUUUGAUUACUCAGAAUAAAUAGGAAGCUUUAUAAUAGUUAAGAAACGUAUUCCAAAGUUUAGUUUACUGGUUGACUCACAUAUUAACUGAAUAACCUGAGUAAAAAAGAAAACCACAUCAUAUUAUGAUGGUGUUUAUUAAAAAAAACUAAAAUAACAAUUUUUUUUUAAUAUUAUCUUCUUAAAUAUUUUUAUUUUAAAAAUUUUUCACAUAGUUGUAGAUAAAAAAAAAAUGUUUUAAUUUAGCAACGAUAGAGCAUCCACAAGAAAGAUAUUAUACGGUUAUUAAUUUUCAUUAAAAGAAAAGCUAAGAGACCUGGGAGAACUACUAUAUAUCCACACCUAUUUCAUAAAUUACAAUAGUACGUAAUUCAAGGUGUUUUGCCUUUUUUGUUUUGUUUUUUAAAAUUUGUUUUUGUUUAUUUUAUAAUAGGCUGGUUAUAAUUCAGCUUUAAUUUAUUAAUUUUUAUUCUAUUUUUUUUAUAAGAUUAACGUAAUUUAUAGAUUUGUUAAAAUAACUCAAAUUAUACUAGUUUUCAGAUUUGAUGGGAUAUUUUUUUGUUUAUUAAUUAAAAGAAAAACUAAAAGGUGUAAGAGAAUCACUAUUUACCCACACUCAUUUCAUUAUGGAUUACAAUAGUAAUCUAUAGUGUUUUGUCUUUUCUGUUUUUUUCCUUUUCUUUCCUUUUUUUUUAUCAUUUUUAAAAAUAAUUCUUUUGUCUAUUUCAUAUUUGGGCCGAAUUAGCAUAUAUAUAUAUAUAUAUAUAUAUAUUGGAUUGGUGUUUAAUUUUACAAGUAUAAGUAUCUAUUUUUGUUAUCAUAUUAUUAAAUAAAAAUAAUUUUUUAAAAAAGUAUAAUCCUAGUUAAGUCCAUAACCUUGUUCAUGAGUUUGAUGUGCUAGCCCAAGUUACCUGAUUCACGAGUUUGACAGGUUUAUCAAUUGAUCGAAUAUGGUUUUUUUUUGUUUCUGGUCUUUUAAUUUUUUUAAUUGAUUUUUUUUCAAUUUUGUCCUUCAAUAUUAGAUUGGUUUGGAAAUAGACUAAAUGAUUUAUUUUUGUUUGCUUUCUAUAGGGUUAUCAAAAUCUUAAAUAAAUAUUUAUUUUAGGGAUGAAACUCAAUUUUAUGAGUAUUUAUUUUUAUCAUAUAAUUAAAUUAAAAAAAAGUUUAAAAAAAUUAUUAAACCCAAUAGAAUCGAUGAUCCAGGUCGCGAGGGACCGGGAUCGAUCAAAUUUGUCAUUGUUUCAAUAUUUUUUUUUAAAAAAAAAUUGUUGUCUAGAAGUUUUUUGUCAUAGAAUCGAUGACCGAGAGCAAAAAUUGUUUUCGUUUUGCUCUUCCCCUGCUUUCUUCAACAGUUAUCCUGCGUCUUUCUAUCUAUCAUUCUAGAGUUUUAGGAUCUCGUGUCAUAUAAAGAAUUUGAGUAUGAUAAUUUAGCUACAAAGACAAAGGAUUAAAUCAUUAACAACAACAUUUAUAUUUCAUAUUUUUCAUCCGAAUUUCUUUAACAAACAAGAAAGUCAUUCAUAUAUAUAUAUAUAUAUAGAUAGAUAGAUAGAUAGAUAGAUAUUCUUUUCUGAUCUGUGCUUUAUGUUCUUUUUAGACCUCAGUUUUUUUAUGUCUUUUCUGAUCUUUUCUGGUCAGAUGGAAGGGUUCCAACCAUCUUUUAUGGAGGAGGUUGACAACAUGACAUGGGAUCAGCUGGGUUUUCAAUCAGAAGAAGAUACAUUCAAUAUGUCUGAGCUUCUCUUGUACGUCAUUCUUAAGCAUAUUUUAUCAGAAGAUGAUUGCUUGCAAUUUAGUUAUUCUUCAGUUUAUCCUAUUAUUCCCAAAAAACAAUAUAAUGUCGUCACUGUCCAUGGAAGCAGGCCGCCACCGGAGGUUCCAGUCAACCCAAGCUCCAUAUCAUGCAAUGAUCAAGGUGGACAGAACAAUGUGAUCAACGAUAGUAUUCAACAAACAACUCCGUUUCCAACUUCAUUUCCUGAAACCAUGGUGAGUACUCCAAUUUGCUACAAUGUCCAUUGAAUUAGCAAGUGUUUGUAUUAUACAAAAAGUUUUAUGUUUAGUGGAUCGAUCUCGAGCAUCUUCAAAUUGUUUACUGUUAAACAAACAGACAACAAUAGGGAGAUUUAAACAUUUUUUAUGAUAUUUUUUUAUCAUUAAGUUUUAUAUAAAAUUGGCCUCAAACUCCAUCAAGGCAUCAUAAUUCCUUUAUUCAUCAACCUCAGCCGGGACAUGGCUAUAUGACACCGAACGCAACCACAUCACAACAUGGUGGCUUCAAUCAACCUGGACCUUCUUUUCCUCCUCCCUGGUAUCCAAUUUUUCAUCUUUAGUAUUUUCUGUAAAAAAAAAAAUUAGUUUUUCAAUCAUUAUUUAACUUCUUCUUCCUCUAGUUGUUGUACUUAUCAGUGAAUUCAUUAACAAAUGUUGCUAAUUUAGGGACCAACAAUGGACUGAUUAUCAGUCACCAAUGAGCAAUCAAGUGCCUGCGAUGCUACCUGGACCUCAACCUCCAAUGAGUCAAUGGUAUUAACCUCGAAUUUACACUUUUUUAAUCAUGAAAACAAUAAACUUUACCAAAAUUGACGAGGAUCUUUCAAGUCUUUUUGAGCUCUCUAUCUCUCUUUUUUUUUUUAUGCACAUAAUGGAACUAGAAAAUCAACCAAGUGAGCAUAACAGUUCUAAGUUUAACUAUUUGAAUAUUCUUCAGGCAUCAGAACUCCUUUAUUCAUCAACCUCAGCCGGGACAUGGCUAUAUGACACCGAACGCAACCACUUCACAGCAUGGUGGCUUCAAUCAAUCUGGACCUUCUUCUCCUGCUCCCCGGUAUCCAAUUUUUCAUUUUUAGUAUUUUCUGUAAUAAAAACAAUUAGUUUUUCUAGCAAGAUAAUCAUAAGUUUUUUUACGAAUGAUUUUGGAUUUAGGAUUCAAACUUUUUCUAAUGAAGGACAAAUAGAUCAAGCUGCUGUAAUUCCUAACAUAGACAAUAUGCAACAAGAGAACUUCGUGCGUAGGUACUGAUUGACUUCUAGCUGUUGUGUUUUAACACCGUAUUAAUACCUUUUUUUUAUAAUUAGAUACACCAUUGAUUUUUAUUGCUUAAGAGAGACUACCAAUUAUCGAAUGGUUUUAUAAUAUGAUCACUUCAUUUUUAUAUAGGUCACAGAUGGAUAACCUCCAAGUCCGAGGAUUGCAAAAUCAAAUUGCUAGGCCAAAUGCCUCAAAUCCUGGCCCUGACACCUCCUUUCAAAGUCAAAUUAGGGGCUUAAAUACUCAACAAGUAAGAAGUCUAACUGAAUUAUCGUCGUCUUUUCCCCCUAUGAUUGUGCAAUAAACAAACUAUCAAUUUUAAUAGCAAAAUAAGGGUAACUUCCAUCAAUUUUUAUUCUUUAUUUUGACCCCGUUUUUUUUUUCUAUAGGUCGAAACGGUUGGAUCAAAGUAUCCAUUUCGGAUUCAUGUUGAAUAUAGGGCUGAUGGUAGCAUGAAGUGUAAGUUUUGUCACCAUACAUGGGCCAAUAAAACUUCCAUUUCAAGGUUCAAAUGGCAUUUAUCAGGAGAGGAAGGGCAUGGUGUUGCCAUUUGUCGUGGGGUGACUAAAGAAGUUCAAGAAGCAGCCAUUCUAGCUAUGUGUGGUGGCCACAAAAGACAAAAAAUCACAGCAAGUGCAGUCAAUGUUAAUGACUGUGGAAUUUCAACUUGUCUACAAGAACAAAACAUUGAGAAUGAAAAUACGGGAGGCGGUAUUGGAAGGGUACAAAGAGAAGUUCAGGUUGUAGAACCCGGAGUAGUGGAAGAGAGGAUUUCUUCACAUGCAAUAGCAGGAAACGACGUAGUAAGCAUGACCGGAAUGGGAGCACAAGAAGAUAGAGUUUCCGAAGGGGCAGUCGAGAGCAGACUGAGGACAGAACCAGUGGAUCGAGCGUUGGAACAAAGCAAUGCAGUACUUGGCAAUAUGGCAGGGGGUGCUGGAAGGAUACAUGUGGGAGUUCAGGGCAUGGAACAAGGUCCAGGAGAAAAUAGAAUUCAGUUGCAUCUACAAGCGGAAAAUGGCAUGGAAAACACUGGUGAAGGAUCUUUUCAGCAUGAUGCAUUUGAGAAUGUACUUAGAACAGAGCAAGUGCAGCUUCUGGAGCCUCAAGGAGAUUCAUCCCAAUUUUGUCUUGACAUUGGAAGAUGUGAUGAUCAACCUUGUGCUCCAUCAGUAAACGAUGAUGUAAAUAGGCAUGAUGCACUGGACAUGGUUAGAGUGAGGACAGAACCAGUGGAGGAUGAUGAUGUGGAGAAUAGUGGAAGAUCAGGAGUGCAGGCUGGCGCAGGAGCUAGAUCUUCUGAAAGUCUGAAAUACAACAAGACUAGAGGAGUUCCAUUACAUACUAGCUCUACAAAGCCAGUGGGUCAAGCAUUUGAAGAGAAUAAGGAGGUGAUAUGGUCUUUGUUAAUGGAUGGUAAAGUCCCAAUCAUUGGCAUUUAUGGGAUGGGGGGAGUUGGUAAAACAACAAUAAUACUACAUAUCUAUAAUGAGCUUCUACGAAGACCAGACAUUUAUGAUCACGUUUGGUGGGUGUCUGUGUCCCAAGAUUUCACCAUUAAUAGAUUGCAGAAUCUUAUUGCUAAACGUCUUGAUCUAAAACUUUCAAGCGAAGAUGAUGAUCGGCACAGAGCUGCCAAAUUGUCAGAAGAACUAAGAAAGAAACAAAAAUGGAUUCUCAUUUUAGAUGAUUUGUGGAACAAUUUUGAGCCUGACAACGUGGGAAUUCCUGUCUCAUUGAAAGGAUGCAAGCUGAUUAUGACAACUCGAUCAAAAAUAAUUUGUAAUCAGAUGGCUUUCCAACACAAAAUCAAAGUGAAGCCACUUUCUGAGGGUGAAGCUUGGAAUUUGUUCAUGGAGAAACUUGGACGUGACAUAGCACUUUCACUAGAAGUGGAAGGAAUUGCGAGAGACAUUGCAAGGGAAUGUGCUGGUUUGCCAUUAGGAAUUAUUACAGUGGCAGGAAGCUUGAUGGGAGUGGAUGAUCUACAUGAGUGGAGAAAUACAUUGAAGAAAUUGAGAGAAUCAGAAUUUAGGGACAUGGAUGAGAAGGUAUUCCAGGUAUUGAGGGUUAGUUAUGAUCGGCUAGGUGAUUUAGCACUACAACAAUGUCUCUUAUACUGUUCAUUAUUUCCUGAAGAUCAUGUGAUUGAAAGGGUGGAGUUGAUAGAUUAUUUGAUUGACGAGGGAAUAAUUAAAGGAAAGAGGAGAAGGGAAGAUGCAUUUGAUGAGGGCCACACGAUGCUUAAUAGACUUGAAAAUGUUUGCCUAUUGGAAAGUGUUAAAAUGGAGUAUGAUGGUAGUAGAGGUGUCAAGAUGCAUGACUUGAUGAGGGACAUGGCCAUCCAUAUACUGCAAGAGAACCUUCAAUACAUGGUUAAAGCAGGUGCACAAUUAAAAGAGUUGCCAGAUGCAGAGGAGUGGACGGAGAAUCUGACGAUAAUUUCACUAAUGCAAAACGAGAUCGUAGAAAUUCCUUCCAGCCAUUCACCAAUGUGUCCAAAUCUAUCCACUCUACUUCUAUGUCAAAAUCUUUGUUUGCGAAUCAUUGCAGAUUCAUUUUUCAAGCAAUUGCAUGGGCUCAAGGUUCUUGAUCUGUCUUCUACAGCUAUUAAACGUUUGCCAGACUCUGUCUCUGAUUUGGUGAGUCUCACUGCAUUAUUGCUCAUUGAGUGUUACAACUUAAGACAUGUUCCAUCAUUAAAGAAUCUCAGGGCACUGAAGAGGUUGGAUCUCUCUCAUACUUCACUUAAAAAGAUGCCGCAAGGAAUGGACUGUCUAUCCAACCUGAGGUAUCUUAGAAUGAAUGGAUGUGGUGAAAAGAAGUUUCCUAAUAGGAUAUUACCAAAACUCUCUCACCUGCAAGUCUUUGUACUAGAAGAGGUUUUUGAGGGAAGUUAUGCUCCGAUAACAGUUGAAGGAAAGGAAGUAGGAUCCUUGAGAAAUUUGGAAACUUUGCAAUGCCAUUUCGAAGGUCUCCCUGACUUCGUGGAGUAUCUCAGAUUUCGGGAUGUGACCCAAUCAGUAAGCACAUGCAAAAUUUUAGUAGGUAUACUGGAUGAAUUACUUUAUUACGGAAUAACUGAGUGUCCUUUUCCAAGUAAAACAGUUGGGUUGGGUUAUAUGAGUAUCAACAAAGAUAGAGAUUUUCAGGUCAAGUUCUUAAAUGACAUUCAAGGACUGGUUUGUCAUAGCAUCGAUGCAAGAAAUUUAUGUGAUGUUUUGUCAUUAGAGAAUGCACCUGAACUGGAGGUUAUCCAAAUUUGGGAUUGCAAUAGCAUGGAGAUCUUGGUUUCAUCUUCUUGGUUCUGCUCUGCUCCACCAUCAUUGCCAUCAUAUAAUGGUAUGUUUUCUGGUCUUAAAGAGUUUUAUUGUCAUGGAUGUAAAAGUAUGAAGAAGUUGUUCCCACUUGUGUUGCUGCCAAACCUCGUAAACCUGGAAAGGAUUGAAGUGAUGGAUUGUGAGAAAAUGGAGGAGAUAAUAGGAACAGCAGAUGAAGAAAGCAGCACCUCCAAUUCCAUCACGGAAUUCAUUCUCCCAAAGUUAAGAACUUUGAAAUUGUCUGAAUUACCAGAACUGAAAAGCAUUUGCAAUGCAAAACUGAUUUGCAAUUCUCUUGAAGAUAUUACUAUAAUGUUUUGUGUUGAGCUGAAGAGGAUGGCAAUUUCUCUUCCAUUGCUUGAAAAUGGUCAGCCAUCUCCUCCCCCUUCUCUUGAAGAAAUCAUAGUAUAUCCAGAAGAAUGGUGGGAGACAGUAGUGGAGUGGGAGCAUCCUAAUGCAAAGGAUGUCCUUCGUCCCUUUGUAGAGCUUGGUUUAGCAUCAUCCCCGUAGAAGAGGAUUUUGUUUCUCAAAAUAAUUAAUAUGUAUGGUUAAUCCUUUCGUUGUAAGAAUACUAAUCGACUGUAACCUUAAAUUUGCUCAUAUUCAAUAAUAUAUCAUUCUUUCAAUAUUUGUUUGUUAAAAAUCAUGGGCAAAACAUAAUUAUUUUUUAUAUGAAUGAUGAAAAUAGUCCUUUAAAUCAACAAGGAUAUUUUUAUUAAUUAUUAUUGAAAUUACUUGCAUGAUGCUUUUGGAUUAAAGAUCGAUUGCUCAAUGGGUGGAUUUGGGCUGGUGUGAAAUGGAAUUGCCAAUUAUUUUUUAUAUGAAUGAUGAAAAUAAUCCUUUAAAUCAACAAGGAUAUUCUUAUUAAUUAAUAUUUAAAUAGUCCUUUGUCCCUUUGUACCUUUUUUUUUAACUCGAAUGAUAAAUAAUUAUAAUUUGAAGUUUGAUUUAUAUUAUAUUUUCAUCCUAUUGAGUUUCUCCAAGAUGAAAAUCCAAAAAAAAAAAAAAAUACUAUAUUGAUUUAUCAUUAAAGUAACCUAAUAAAAUAAUAUAUCUAUUCACUAGUACAAAUCAUCUUAUAUCAUUAACUAGCAAUAAAUUAUUCUUUUAAAAUAUAUAAUACAGAUUAAAAAAAAUAUCAAAAUGAAGUUUUCUACUAGGGUUGAUGAUGAAUCUCAAGGUUGAAUUGGUUCUUAUGAAGUUUUCUACUAGUGCCUGGUGGUUUUGUCUGAGUAAAAGGGAUAGAUGCUAAGUUAAGGAAGAGAGACAAAAAGUGGAAGGGACAAUUGUGUCGAUUGUUCUCUUGAUCUGAGCUUAUUCUGUAUCAUUUGUUGGUUGCAUUAUACCUUCACCUCCAUACCCAACUCCUCUUCAUCUCUUAUUGUUAAUAAAAAUGUAAGAAUUUAAGAGCAUGAGAGAAUACUUUCACAAUGAAGAUUAAUUCAUCUCCAUAGCAGAAUACAGGAAAUGGAAAAUUAAAUCAAUAAAAGAAAGGUAUUUCAUCGCCAAUGAAUUCAUCUCUUCGAACAUUCUUGAAUUCUGGUCAAUCCAUAUCACAACAAACAUAGUAAACAUGUCAAAAGUAUUCUUCUACCUCAGCAUUGAGAAGAUCAAAUGAGGAAGGCUAAGAUUCUCUUUUAAAUGCCCCUGAGAGAGUAUGAACUGAACAUACAUUUUUUGUUGGAUGAGUUUUGGUUUCUAAACCUGAAACUGCCGUCAUAAGCACUGGCUAGGGAAGUUAGGAUGAGCAUUUCUUGUCAUUAUAUCACUUUUUCUGCUAGGAUAAUGCUGUCUAUAUUCUCUGAUACUAUUGCUUAUAAUCUCCUUGCCUCUGUUAUCUUUUCCAACCCGUUUGAGGAUGCUUUCUAAAUUUUUUUGUUAAAUUGUGAAUUUGUUGUUCACUUGCACAGUUGAACAGGGUUGACCUAGGAAUCCAGGAGUUAUUGGUGAGAGAGGAUUUGGAUCCUUUUCGAAGGAAAGUGAGUGGUUCAACGAUGAUAUUUAAUUAAAAAAAAAUAACAAUGUCUUUUUUAAUAUUAUAUUUUAAAAUAUUUUAUUUUAAAAAAGUUACACAUGAUUGCAAUAAAAAAGAUGUUUUAAUUUGGCAUCAUUGAGCAUCCUCGAGGAAACUAUUAUAGGGUUAUUAAUUUUUAUUAAAAGAAAAGUUAAAAGACAUGAAAGAAUCAUUAUCUAUCCACACUCAUUUCAUUGUAAAUUACAAAAUAAUUCAAGCUUUUUUUUUUGUUUUUUUUAAAUUAUUUUUGUUUAUUUCAAUAUUACACUGGUUCGUAAUUUAUUUAUUUUUAUUUUAUUUUUAUAAGAUUAACAUGAUUUAAAGAUUUAUUAGAAUAAUAUCUUUGCUACUGUAACAUUAUCUUCCACAUCCCAUCUCAUUAUACCAUUGAUUUCCCAAUUUCCCUCAUCAAAUUUCUUAAACCUUUCUGAAGAUCAGUGCUUCCUUUUCUGAUUGAAUCAAAUCAUCUGGAGUUCAACAUCUUGGAACUUUCUUGUUAUUUUUAAACUAUAUAUUCUACUCUGUUCUUGUCUUUUUUGCUGAAUAAUGCUUAAGCAAACCAGGACCUGAAGAACAACUUGAAUCCAGGUAGAUUAUUUAUACUCCAUCUUCUUCAUUUUCUUUUUCACAUGUAACUCUGGUUUGAAUCUUUCAAGGAAACCACAAGUUGUAGAAAUUCUAAUGAGAAACUUUGGAGUUAGGAUCAUCAACAGUUUCCAAAAAUAAAAAUAAUUUAAUCUUUCUCAGUUUUAACAAUCCAUGCCUUAUGGAGUUCAUACUAAUUAAAUUGACCCCAAGUUAACCUUGAAUUCAUUGUUUUUUCUUCUUAAUUUCUUUGCUGUUUGUAACUUAUUAUUUUUGCUGUUUGUAACUUAUUAUUUUUGCUGUUUGUAACUUAUUAUUUUAGUUUCACCUUCCUUUUCCUUUUCCAAUUAAUGUACUUCCAUUAAUUGUUAUUCAAUAUUUUGACCCUUUUUAUCUAUAGGACAAAAUGGGUAGAUCAGAUGAUCCGUUUUGGAAGGAAGUUGAAGAUAUGAAUGAUGGAAGCAUGAAGUGUAAGUUUUGUGGGCAUUUAUUUGCCAAUGGUACUUCCAUUUCGAGGAUCAAAUGGCAUUUAUCAGGAGAGAGAGGGCAUGGUGUUGGCAUUUGUGGUCAGGUGCCUAAAGAAGUUCAAGAAUUAAGCAGCCUUUCUAGCUAUGCAUGGUGGCAACAAAAGACAUAAAAGCAUAGCAAGUUCAAGCAAUGUUAAUGAUUAUGCCAUUUCCACCUGUCCACAAGAACAAGACAAUGCAGUACUUGGUAAUUUGGCACAAGGUGUUGGGCCUGAGAGAAUUCAUUCGCGUGUAGAAGCGGCAAAUAGCAUGGAAUACACUGGUGAAGGAUCUUUUCAGCAUGUUGACAGAAGUGUCUCUCCUUGGGGACUCAGAGUUGAUGCUCGUGAGAAUAGAGGAGAAGCAACACAAAGAACAGAUUUAGUGGAUCAUUUGCUGAUGGUACUUGGGUUCAGAUACACUCUGGCCUUUCAAAGGNNNNNNNNNNNNNNNNNNNNNNNNNNNNNNNNNNNNNNNNNNNNNNNNNNNNNNNNNNNNNNNNNNNNNNNNNNNNNNNNNNNNNNNNNNNNNNNNNNNNCUGAAUGAAAUCUCUACCUAUUUAAUGCAGGAAGAUGAGGAUGUGGAGCGUCUGCAUGAUGCAUUUGAAACUGUACCGAGAACAGAAGAAGUGCAGCAUCUGGAGAGAGGUAGCUCUUGUGAGAGGCCAUCAAUUAAUCAAGCUGAUGAGCCUCGAGGAGAUUCAUCACAACCAACAGAUUCAUUGUGUCUUGAUCAUGGAAGAUAUUAUGAUCAACUAUUUACUCCGUCAAUAAACAAUGAUGUCAUUAUGAAUGAUGUGCAGAACAUGGUUAGAGUGAGGACAGAACCAUUGGAGGAGGAGGAUGUGGAGAAUAGUGGAAGUUCAGUAGUGCAGGCUGGCGCGGGAGCUAGAUCUUCUGAAAGUCUGAAAUACAACUAGAGGAGUUCCAUUACCUACUAGCUCUACAAAGCCAGUGGGUCAAGCAUUUGAAGAGAAUAUGAAGGUGAUAUGGUCUUUGUUAAUGGAUGAUAAAGUCCCAAUCAUUGGCAUUUAUGGGAUGGGAGAAGUUGGUAAAACGACAAUACUGCAACAUAUUCAUAAUGAGCUUCUACAAAAACCAGAUAUUUGUAAUCAUGUUUUGUGGGUGACUGUCUCUCAAGAUUUCAGCAUUAAUAGAUUGCAGAAUCUUAUUGCUAAACGUCUCUAUUUAGAUCUUUCAAGUGAAGAUGAUGAUCUGCAUAGAGCUGCCAAUUUGUCAGAAGAACUAAGGAAGAAACAAAAAUGAAUUUUCAUUUUAGAUGAUUUGUGGAACAAUUUUGAGCUACACAAAGUGGGAAUUCCUGUCACGUUGAAAGGAUGCAAGCUGAUUUUGACAACUCGAUCAGAAACAAUUUGUCAUCGGAUUGCUUGCCAACACAAAAUCAAAGUGAAGCCACUUUCUGAGGGUCAAGCUUGGAAUUUGUUCAUGGAGAAACUUGGACAUGACAUAGCACUUUCACCAGAAGUGGAAGGAAUUGCGAGAGAUAUUGCAAGGGAAUGUGCUGGUUUGCUAUUGGGAAUUAUUACAGUGGCAGGAAGCUUGAUGGGAGUGGAUGAUCUACAUGAGUGGAGAAAUACAUUGAAGAAAUUGAGAGAAUCAGCUGAAUUUAGGGACACGGAAGUAUUCAAGUUAUUGAGGUUUAGUUACGAUCAAUUAGGUGAUUUAGCACUACAACAAUGUCUCUUGUACUGUGCAUUAUUUCCCGAAGAUAGUGAGAUUGAAAGGGAGGAGUUGAUAGGUUAUUUGAUCGAUGAGGAAAUUAUUAAAGGAAUAAGGAGCAGGAAAGAUGCAUUUGACGAGGGCCAGACGAUGCUUAAUAGACUUGAAAAUGUCUGCCUAAUGGAAAGUGUUAAAAUGGAGUAUGAUGGUAGUAGAAGUGUCAAGAUGCAUGACUUGAUUAGGGACAUGGUCAUCCAUAUACUGCAAGAGAACCUUCAAUACAUGGUUAAAGCAGGUGUACAAUUAAAAGAGUUGCCAGAUGCAGAGGAGUGGACGGAGAAUCUGACGAUAGUUUCACUAAUGCAAAACGAGAUCGAAGAAAUUCCUUCCAGCCAUUCACCAAUGUGUCCAAAUUUGUCAUCUCUACUUCUACGUGAUAAUGAAGGGUUGCGAUCUAUUGCGGAUUCAUUUUUCAAGCAAUUGCAUGGGCUCAAGGUCCUCGAUCUGUCUUGCACAGUUAUUAAAAAUUUGCCAGAGUCUGUUUCUGAUUUGAUGAGUCUCACUGCAUUAUUGCUCGAUGGUUGUUGGAAGUUAAGAUACGUUCCAUCAUUAAAGAAGCUCAAGGCACUGAAGAGGUUGGAUCUCUCUUGGACCAUGCUUGAAAAGAUGCCGCAAGGAAUGGAAUGUCUAUCCAACCUGAGGUAUCUUAGAAUGAAUGGAUGUGGUGAAAAGGAGUUUCCUAAUGGGAUAUUACCAAAACUCUCUCACCUGCAAGUCUUUGUACUAGAAGAGGUUUUUGAGGAAUGUUAUGCUCCGAUAACAAUUAAAGGAAAGGAAGUAGUAUCCUUGAGAAAUUUGGAAACUUUGGAAUGCCAUUUCGAAGGUCUCUCGGACUUCAUAGAGUUUCUCAGAUGUCGGGAUGGGAUCCAAUCAUUAAGCACAUACAGAAUUUCAGUGGGAAUUCUGAAAUUCUUAUAUGGCGUUGAAAAGUUUCCAAGUAAAACAGUUGCGUUGGGUAAUUUGAGUAUCAACAAAGAUAGAGAUUUUCAGGCCCUUUACGAAUUGUUCUGGCAGCGUGCUAAUAGCCUACUCCAUAUGGUUGCUCAGUUCGAUCUCAAUGAUAAAAAAAAAGGGAAAAAACAACUUAAAGGGAAUUCGAACAACAACGGCACUGCUGUAUUAUAAAAAAAAGAAAAAAAGUGAAAAAUAACUUGCUAUUAUCUUAAAAUACUGCAGGUUUUAUUAUUUGUCUCUUGUUCGGUUAGAAGAAUAACCAGGGUGGAAUUCAGCUGAUAAGAAUUGGUUCCUUCACCAAUAAACUAAACAACUAUAUAUUUUCCUGUUACUCUAUAUCAUGAGUGGAUUGGACAGGAGGAGUUCUGUAGUAAGCUGGCAUGGUUUCCAGGAAGAAUGUUGCUCUAAUUCCUUCUGCCUUUAUAGUAUAGGGAAGAUGAUGCCUGAUCCAACCUGAAAAUUGACAAAAAUAAAAAUUUAAGUUUGUCUAGGAAACUCAUGGUGAGAAUAACAGUUCAAACAAAAAAGCUUCUGAUAGUAAGAGUAAAGAAAGCUGGAGAUACAGACCAAAAUUAGUCUAGCCGCUAUGCACAUGCGUUUUGGUGUAGGAAAUGGAAGCAAUAAGCGGCCAACAGCGUAGGCAAGCAUGGCAAAGCAGUGGAAAACCAAGCUCAACGGGUCAGGGUUUAGACCAGACAGAAGAGCCAUCAGUCCAUCUGAGAAAACGCCUCCAAGGCUGAAAUAAUUGAAGAAUGCUUCUUUCAUUUCCUUCCUUGAUGGAUCCUGAUCCGAUGAAGAGAUUUCUGUGUGUAGGCAAAUGUGUUGCUUGCAAAUGCCGUUGGCUGCAACCAAUAAUAAGUUAAUAGUAUCUACCAACCGCAUAGAAAUAUGGUUAUGUUGUGUUUCACUCAGCAAUGCUUGAAAUAUGAAGUUUCUUUAAGCAAUUCCUGUUCAGAGUUUGUUCCGAGGAAGACUGGCCGAAGAAAUAUUAGCUAAGCAUAUUCAUGCAAGUGCCGAUACCAUACGCAGAAUGCAAAAGGAUUAAGAUAUUUGCAAAUGGAAGCUGCAUUGCUAAGAUCAUUCAGAGGCCUAAGAAGAUGUCGCAGUAGAACAACACCAGAAAGUCCCACGGUCAUUCCUCCUCCUGUUACAGCAAGGCGCAUUUUCAACGAAUCCCCUAUCAUAAAUGCACCAGGGGUUGGAUAGCGAGACGCAGGCAUGAUUCUGUUUGGCAUUGUUCUUAUGUUGCCCUUAUCAAUUGCACAUAUGAAAGCAUUGUAUAGCUCAGAUAUUAUUAACAACACUAAGGAGGUCCUUCUACCCUUUGUAAGUUUUUUAUAUAUAAGGAAGGAAGAUGAAGACAAAUCAAACGUUUAGAGAGGAACACCUCAUCCAUUUCUGGCCAUUUCUGAUAUAAGGUUUUCUCGAUGCCUUCACACUCCAUAUUUUUAUUUGUAUCUUCUAAACCUUAUAGCUUCUUCUUCUUUUAGUUUAUUGAUUGCUCUGUUUAUUUAUUAUUUGUAUUAAUAUAUAUUAACUAAAUGGAUUCAUGACCAUUAAAAACAACAUUUAUAUAUAUAUAUUAUUUUGGAAAACUCAAAAUACAACGGAAAUACAAUUUUGAGAUUCAUCUUAUUCAUUUCAUGUGGUACAUCAUGAGGAUUGUUUCAUGUUUGUUCAUGUUGUUCCUCAUGCUUCAUAAAUUCAGCUGAUAAGAAUCGGUUCCUUUACCAAUAAAAUAAACAACUAUUUCCCUGUUUCUCAAUCAUCAGUGGAUUGGACAGGAGGAGUUCUGUAGUAAGCAGGCGUGGUUGCCUGGAAGAAUGUUGCUCUGAUUCCUUUUGCCUUAAGUAUAGGGAAGAUGAUGCCUGAUCCAACCUCAUGCUUUAGGAUAGGCCUAAGAAGAUCUCGCAGUAGAACAACAUCAGAAAGUCCAACAGUCAUUCCUCCUCCUGUUACAGCAUGGCGCAUAUUCAAUGAAUCCCCUAUCAUAAAUGCACCAGGGGUUGGAUAGGGAGAUGCAGUGUAGUUUUUAGCAGAAUAGAGACACAAAAAACAGAGAAAACCAGCACAUAUAAAGGGUUGUUUUGAGACUUCAAAAUCAUUACUAUUUUUAUUGAUUGAAUCACUCUUUUAGACAAGAGUUUUGAUAACUAAUUUCAGAAAAAUAAUGACAUGAUUUAAUGGAAUAAGAGUUGUUCUACAGCAGCUUUAUUUGCUACUAACUUCCUAACUUGUUGGAGCUGAUCUUGACUCAAUCGUUUCAGCUCCAAAAACCGCUUCUUCAGCAGCAAAUGAGGCAACCAGCAACACGCAGGCAUGAUUCUGUUUGGCAUUGUUCUUAUGUUGCCCUUAUCAAUUGCACAUGUGAAAGCAUUGUAUAGCUCAGAUAUUAUUAAAACAAAUCCGUGAUCAAGCGUGCUCUAUAAAUUAAUCAGAAUAUGCUUCAGUUCAUUAACAGUAUAGCUUCUUCUACUUUUAGUUUAUUGAUUGCUCUGUUUACUUAUUAGUUGUAUUAAAAAUAUUAAUUUGUCUAUCAAAGUGCUAAUGAGUAAUGCAACUCAAAGUCGUUCGAUUUACUGUGCUCUUGGAUAUUGAUAGCUCUUAUUUAAGGACUUGGAAAGAAAGCAUAUCUCCUCCUGCUGAUUCGUUGCCAUCAAAUAUUGAUCCAAAACCCUCUUUAACCAUGUUGGUGAUUGAUUAGCUAGUAGUUUUGGUAUAAUUCACGAGCAUUUUUGUGCUAUAAUGGGCCCAAACCCUCUUUAACCAUGUUGAUGAUGUUUCUAAUUUGCAAGUGCUGAUACACACACACCACAAAACGUAAUGUAUAUAGCUCACAUAUAUUGACACAUGAGCAUAAACUACCCAUGAAUAGGAGGAAAUUAUCAUAACAAAUAUUAGGAGCUCAAUGUUUCUCAAAAAUUGAUUUGUGAUUUAAGUAUCACCGGUUAAGGAUUAGAAAUGAUGAUAUUCCUAAAUCUGUAUUUAGAACUUGUUAUGGACACUAUGAAUUUCUAAUAUUGUCUUUUGGGUUAGCAAAUACACUAGUAACCUUUAUAGACAUGAUCAACAGUGUUUUUAAGCCAUUUAUUGAUAGAUUUGUUAUUGUAUUCAUUGAUGAUUUUUUAGUGUAUUUGAGGAGUGAAGAGGAAUAUGAAGAGCAUUUGUUACUGGUUCUUUAAACUCAGAGAAAUCAUCAAUUGUAUGAGAAAUUUUUGAAAAGUGAGUUUUGGUUGGAGAAUGUUGGGUUUUUGGACAUGUGAUGUUGAAAAAUGGGAUAGAGGUUGAUCCACUAAAGGUGAAGGCAACUAAGAAGUGGCCUAGACUGACUAUAAUAUCUAAGAUUAGGAGUUUCUUGAGUUGAGCACGAUACUAUAAGUGGUUCAUGGAGAGCUUUUCACAAAUUGCAGCUUCAUUGACCAAGUUGACAGAAAAAAAUCAAGUUUUAGUGGCCAAAAUAGUGUAAGAAGAGUUUUCUAGAGUUGAAGGAAAGGUUAAUUAAGACUUUGAUUUUGAUAAUACCUUCAAAGUUCGGUGGCUUUACUGUGUAUUGUGAUGCAUUAAGAAUUGGAUUGAGUUGUGUUUAAAUGCAAAAUGAUAAUGUAAUUGCUUAUGCCUCAAGGAAAUUGAAGAAAGAUAAACAAAAUUACCCCACACAUGAUUUAGAGAUGGUUAUGGUAGUGUUUGCUCUUAAGAUUUGGAGACACUACUUGUUUGGAAAGACAUGUGAGAUGUUUUCAGAUUAUAAGAUUUUUCAAUAUAUCUUCCAAUAAAAGAAUCUGAAUAUAAGACAAAGAAGGUGGAUAGAAUUUUUAAGUGAUUAUGAAUGCAUGAUUCAAUAUCACCCGAAAAAAGUGAAUGUUGUUGCCGAUGCCUUGAGCAUAAAAUCUAUGGUGGUUUGGCUUAUAUUCAAGAGGUGAGGAGGCUAUUGAUUAGGGAGUUACACAAGUUAUUGGAUGAAAAGGUUAGUUUUGAGAUUGGGGAACUAGGAGCAUUGUUGGCUCACUUUCAAACUAAAUCGAACUUGUUAGACCAGAUUGAAGCAAUUGACGAGAGAUGAGCAGCUAUAUAAGAUUCAAGAUGAGUUAGAGUUAGGAAAGGCUCCAAGUUUUGUUGAUGGUGAGGAUGGUUUGUUGAGAUUAGGUUUUUGUGUGCUUGAGGUGAAUGAUUUGAACAGAAAUACGAUGACGGAAGCAUAUCAAACCACCUAUAAUGUACAUCCUAAUUUUAACAAGAUGUAUAGACUUGAAACAAUUCACUAAUGAAAUGGCAUAAAAAACAUUAUUGAGAAUACUUAACCUAUCAAAGAAUUAAAAGCGAGCAUCAGAAGUUAUUAGGGUUUUUACAACCAUCGUUAAUUCCUGACAUUUUCAAUCAUUAUUGAUUUUUGAAUGGAAAUGAUAUAAACUCAUUAUAGAUUUUAUGUCAAGUUUGUCUCGGAAGAGUUAUAAUUCAAUUUGGGGGAUAGUUGAUUGUUUCACCAAGUCAGCUCAUUUGUACCUUUCCCAUGAACUAUCUGAAUGAAAUUAAUUAUCUGGUGGAAUAUUGUUGGUGGUAUCCGACGUGAUUAAAGUUACGUAACAUGAUCCAUCAUCACUAGUCUCUCCUCAUUGCUGCUAUCCGACAUGAUCAAGGUUUCCAAAGGGAGAACCUUUAAUUUGGAAAAUUUUAUCUUCAUCUGAAACCAUUUGAGCCCAUGAUCUGGACUUUUGUUCUACUUUUUAAGCCUUUGUCUUUGUCUUUCUGUUUAGAUGGCAUUGGGUCGUCUUCCCUGCCAAAAAAACCUCUUAUAAAGGUAGGAAAUUUGAAUUUUCUUUAUACAUUUAAUAUAGAAUCGAAAAUGCUUAAAAUAGCUUGUUUUUUUGGGCAAAAGAUAUCCCAUUUAUUCUAACUCUUCUCCAAAUAAUCAUAGGAUUUAUGCAUUUUAUGCAUUCAGUCACGCUUUUUCUAGCUAUUGAAUGGAUUAAUUAUUUUAAUACACUUGAAUCAUUUAUUUAUCUGUAUUGAUUUAAUUUUUUUGCUGUGAUAUUGCUACUCGUGUAUAUUGUUGUUGUCAUUAAAUUUUAUUGAUAGGAACAAUUAUUAAUUUUAUAAGAUUUAAAGUUAAUGACUAUAUAAACAUCUAGUGAUCUUGAUAUUUUUGAGAUUUGAACUGAUGAUAUUUAAGGAGUAAAUCUAGAAGCUGACCAGUUAAAGAUGAAGAUUGUUAGGAUACAAAAAAGAUAUAAUUUGUUUUUUUAUUUAAAAUUGUAUAUAUUUUAAAAAUUUAUUUGUCUUGAAAAAAUAUAUUUUUAAUAUAAUAACAUUAAAAAUAAAAAUAAAUUAGUUUGAUUAAUCAAAUCUCCAAGCAACUUUAAUUUUCCAGGCAGCUUCUUCAAAGUUUCAACAUUAGGGGGGUCCACACGUUAACUUUCUAUAUCUUAUAAUAUAAUGCUUGGUAGGUAAGCGGAGGGUUCCUUCCUAGCAACUUCCUUCCUUCCUAUCAAACAAUACAAUAAUUAUUUAUUUAUUAUUAUUAUUACCAUUCUCUGUUUUCCUUUCCCUCUCAGCACUGCAACUUUAUUAUUUUUCUAAAUCAUAUAAUCUUCUCUGAUUUGUGAUUUCUCCUCUUUUAAUCCUCAGGACGUACUAAUCAUCUUCUACCUAUUUUCUUUUCCACAUAUCUUAUAUUCUUCUCUGAUCUGUGAUUUCUCUUCUCUUUUUUUGGCUGAUUACUGCUCAAGCAAACCAGCCCUUGAAGAACAUCUUGAAUCCAGGUAAAUUAUUUGUACUUCAUCUUCUUCAUCUUGUUGGUGUUUUUGUUUUUAUAUUUGUAACUAUGGUUUGAAUCUUUAAAGUAAUCCAUGAUAAAUAAAUUGAUCUUUUUCUCAGAUUUGUCAUAUGUAUAUACUCUUCUCUGAUAUGUGCUUUCUCUUCUUUUUUCACCUCCUGUACUAUUCAUCAUGUACUUGUGGUGAGAUGGAAGGAGUUCCCACCAUCUGUAAAAAAGUUUAUUUUUUCAAUCAGGAAAGAAACAUCAUAGCUUGAACAUGAACCCAGCAAACUAAACAUAAGUUUGUAAUGCUUCAUAUUGUUUGCGAAUGAUUUUGGAUUCAGGAGUCAAUAUUUUUGUAAUCAAGCUGCUGUAAUUCCUAAUAUAGACAAUAUACAACAAGAGAACUUCGUGCCUCGGCACUUUGGAAACUCUACUAGGUACUGAUUGACUUCUAGCUGUUGUGUUUUAACACAAUAUUAAUACCUUUUUGAUAAUUAGAUACACCAUUGAUUUUUGGUUUUAUAAUAUGAUCACUUCAUUUUUAUACAGGUCACAUAUGGAUAACCUCAAACUCAGAGGAUUGCAAAAUCAAACUACUAGGUCAAAUGCCUCAAAUCCUGGCCUUGACACUGCCCUGCAAAGUCAUAUUAGGGGUUUAAAUGCUCAACAAGUCGGAUAUGAUUCAUUUUGGAACUAUGUUGAAGAAAGGGCUGAUGAUGGUAGAAUGAAGUGUAAGUUUUGUCCACAUACAUAUGCCAUUAAAACUUCCAUUUCAAGGAUCAAAUGGCAUUUAUCAGGAGCAGAAGGGCAUGGUGUUGCCAUUUGUCGUGGGGUGUCUAAAGAAGUUCAAGAAGCAGCCUUUCUAGCUAUGUGUGGUGGCAACAAAAGACUUAAAAGGACAGAAAGUUCAAUCAAUGUUAAUGAUUCUGGAAUUUCAACUUGUCCACAAGAACAAGACAUUAAGAUUGAAAAUAUGGGAGGAGGUAUUGGAAGGGUACAAAGAGAAGUUCAGGUUGUAGAACCUGGAGCAGAGGAAGAGAGGAUNNNNNNNNNNNNNNNNNNNNNNNNNNNNNNNNNNNNNNNNNNNNNNNNNNNNNNNNNNNNNNNNNNNNNNNNNNNNNNNNNNNNNNNNNNNNNNNNNNNNNNNNNNNNNNNNNNNNNNNNNNNNNNNNNNNNNNNNNNNNNNNNNNNNNNNNNNNNNNNNNNNNNNNNNNNNNNNNNNNNNNNNNNNNNNNNNNNNNNNNNNNNNNNNNNNNNNNNNNNNNNNNNNNNNNNNNNNNNNNNNNNNNNNNNNNNNNNNNNNNNNNGUUUCUCAUCCAUCCGGAUAUGGUGUAACCUCCAUCAAUUUUAAUUUUUAUUUUGACCCUCUUUUUUUUUCUAUAGGUUGAAAUGGUUGGAUCAAAGGAUCCAUUUUUGAAUUAUAUUGAAGAUAUGGCUGAUGGUAGCAUGAAGUGUAAGUUUUGUCCACAUACAUUUGCCAAUAAAACCUCCAUUUCAAGGAUCAAAUGGCAUUUAUCAGGAGCAGAAGGGCAUGGUGUUGCCAUUUGUCGUGGGGUGUCUAAAGAAGUUCAAGAAGCAGCCUUUCUAGCUAUGUGUGGUGGCAACAAAAGACUUAAAAGGACAGAAAGUUCAAUCAAUGUUAAUGAUUCUGGAAUUUCAACUUGUCCACAAGAACAAGACAUUAAGAUUGAAAAUAUGGGAGGAGGUAUUGGAAGGGUACAAAGAGAAGUUCAGGUUGUAGAACCUGGAGCAGAGGAAGAGAGGAUUUCUUCACAAGCAAUAGCAAGAAACGACGAAGUAAGCAUGACCGGAGUGAGAGCACAUGAAGAUAGUGUUUCCAAAGAGGCACUCGAGAGUAGACUGAGGACAGAACCAGUGGAUCGAGC
RNAcentral lists this long non-coding RNA (70838 nucleotides) under Populus trichocarpa (black cottonwood). RNAcentral describes it as "long non-coding RNA (PTRI_LNC004362)". The record is from RNAcentral. Lineage: Eukaryota; Viridiplantae; Streptophyta; Magnoliopsida; Malpighiales; Salicaceae.